AGUGAGGUCUACUACACCGUGGAGAUGUCGAAAGUUGUAAUCAGCCUGUCAUUUGGUUUGUUUUGGCUCCGUGGUGACGAAUAAUGGCUGGAAACGCAGGAUAUUCCCCGCUUGACGAUUCCGUGUAGGGCGUGAAUAAUUGCUACCAGAUUUUAUUCUUUUCGUGCUGUAUCUAGUUUGGUGGUUCACCGUUGAUCAUCUUUUGAUGUCCAUGCAUCAAGUAAUUCAUAAACUUUUGAAUUGGUACCAACUUUUGGAUGUUGCAUAUGUGUUGUUUGCUUCCUUUGUCUCAGGAACAUAAGCGCUUACAGUGUUACAGAGUUUACGUCGUCGGCACAGCUUAGCGCACCCUCCCAUCGCUCACCGCUCGCGUUGCCUGCCAAUACAGAGGCAAGGGGGAAAGCGGUGGACUGGGCUUGUUGUCGGCGUUAGACGAAGAGGAAAGCAGUCGAAUGCACGCCGCGGAGCACGAAGAUGAACGUCAUUACGUGCACUUUUAACUGAAAUCGCCGUAAAUACCUAGCGACGUUUCAAUCCAGAUGAUCUCCGAUCUUGUCCUUUCUUAGACGAAUAAGAUCUUGUCGUUUGGUACCAUAGGGCAUUCUAGAGUACACUUAUAUUCCUAGCGCGAGAUAUCUCAAUUUCCGAUUCAUUUCAGCACCCUCUACUCCACUUCCUCUCAUCAUCAAAGUCUCCAUGUAAAUCGUAUGGUCCCCACCUCGUUGCUCGCACAGCCAAUGGCAUUGCAAGUUGCAGGCCGCGAGAUAAGCUUUCAAACCUCGAUCGCACACUCGCCGCACAAGAUAAGCUAGCCACAUCGUUCAUUCUAGAAACUCAGGGAGGGCAUUGCAUUACACACUCGCGCACCUCACAACACCCCUCCAUCCACCUUUUGCCAGCGUGAGAGCUUCUUCUUUCUUGCGAGGGAGAGGUCAGCGAGCAACCAGGGAGCUAGGCGUCAAUGGCGACCAUAGCCACGAUGACCAUGCUCAAGCCCGCCAAGAUCACGGCCAGGUCGGCGCCUUCCUCGCCGUCGUUCAGCGCCAAGGUGGCGUCGCCGAGCAUCUCGCUGCGCAGCCUGCAGAAGAACGCGGCCAAGAAGGGAGCCCUGGCCGUGUCGCCGGCGGCCGCGGCCAUGGCGAGCGCCUUCUUCACCUCGCUGGCCUCGUCGGACGCCGCGAUGGCGUCGCAGCGGAUCGCGGACGUGGCGGCGGUGGCGCCCGCGGACGACAACCGGGGCCUGCUGCUGCUCUUCGUGGUGGCGCCCGCGCUCGGGUGGGUGCUCUACAACAUCCUCCAGCCGGCGCUGAACCAGCUCAAUAAGAUGCGGUCCGAGAAGGCGCUCGUCGCCGGGCUCGGCAUCAGCGCCGCCGCGGCCGCCGGCCUGGCCGCCGCGCCGGAGCCGGCCUCCGCCGCCGUGCAGGAGCUCGCCGCGCUGGCGGCGGUAGCGCCCGCCGACGACAACCGGGGCCUGCUGCUGCUCUUCGUGGUGGCGCCCGCCCUCGGAUGGGUGCUCUACAACAUCCUGCAGCCGGCGCUGAACCAGCUCAACAAAAUGCGGUCCAACUGAGCGUCGUCGUCGUCGUGGCAUCGCAUGCGGUCCGGCCGAGUGGGUUCGUAUGUGUGUGUUCGUCUAUUAAGAGUCGUGGUAGUAGCGUGGAACGUGGUGUGAGUGCCUGCUUGCAUACUCUCUAAUCUUGUUCCUUCCAUUGAUCAAAUGCAGUACAGCUCUUCUUGUUUUCUCUUCUGCUACGUUCAGUCCAAUGUUCUCUUCUGCUACGUUGCAUGCUGGAUUGGGUUUCUAGGGCAACUCUAAUCAAUCCUGUAAAAAUAAAGGAGGAUCCUUAGCCAAGUGUUUUUUUUUUACUUCAGAUUUGGCCGGUCCGAGCCGAUCGGCAAUAUAUAACGGAGUUACUUUUCUGGUUUAUGCAUUUCGUGGAACAGUAAUGCUACACGUACAAAUGAGUUACGGAGUUUUACAAAGAAAGUUAAUUUGAUGGGUCAAUAGAUAGGGAGGCGGUCCACCCCUCCUGAAAAUCAGGAGGAAGCAAGUUUGUGAUUGGUUAGUAGAUGAAAAAAGUUCGUAAACUCAUGUAUUUGUUUGUAUGUCUAUCAUUUUUUUUCGUGGAACACCGUCAUGUGUGUCCGCGGCGAUGCUGACCAUGCCGAAAACGCCGGCGUCCGCCAUCGUGCUCAUGCUCGGCGAGGAUGGAGGGCUGCGUUGGGGUCGUUGUAGGGCCACCCAUAGAAGUCCUCGGCCAUCGCCCAUGCACGUCUUCCUAGCCGCAUUCCUGCCGGCCUCCGCGGUGGUUCUGUACCUCGUGAUGUAGCCGCGCUCCGUGUACCUCGUCGACUACGCUUGCUUCCACACCAAGCCCAGCCACUGCGUCCCCUUCGGCACAUUCCUCGAGCACGCCAAGCUUGUCACCUUCAUUGAGGGGGGCUCCAUGACGAGCGCAGCGUCCGUUUCAUGACGUGGCUGCCGGAGCGGUCCGGGCUCAGGAAAGAGAUGUGCCUGUCCCCGGCGCACCACUUCAUCCCGCCGUACCGGAACUUGGGAGGCCUCACGCGAGGAGGUGGAGCUCGUCAUCUUCUCCGCCAUUGACGAUCUGCCCCGACGCCAUUGACUUCCUCAUUGUCAACUGCAGCCUCUUCGCGCCCAUCCAUUCUUCACCAACAUGAUCAUCCACAAGUACAAGAUGCGCAGUGACAUCUCCAAGGUGCACCUCUCCGGGAUGGGGUGCAACGCGGGGGUGGUCGUUAGGUCGAGUUCGUCGUCCAUGAGGUCACCGGCGAGGUCGCUGACGAGGCCGGAGGUCGCCACCGUCGAUAAGGGAGCUUCACGCUAGUCGCCGGCCGGCCACAAGAAGACCUUUACGUGAAGAGAAUUUAUCCUCGGCCGCCGUCAGACGAAGUAUAUUUAAGGAUUUGAUAGGUGUAAGAAAAGAAAACCGACUAGAUGCGGUAUAAGAAAGGAAAACCAAAUUUAUCUUCCCUUACGACCGGAUAGAUCGAUUUGAAUUACCCUUACGAGGUGCUUUGACUAUAGGCACGACGUGCCAAGAAACUUUCGAAAGCCUGGGCAAACCGCAAGUCACAGAGUGUCUAGGAUGUCAUCUUUUUCUUGCAAACCGCUAAUAUUCCGUAUAUUGCUAGAGGUUUCAUUAUUGCUCCAGCAGAGUUUAGCCGUUUGUGGCACCAGAUCUGUGGUUUGGCUUCGAGCACUCUUCUCCCCUCACUGUACUACACGGUCCAUGCUAUACUAGUACCGUCCCUGCAUCACAGGGCAGAGACACUGGACACAUGAAACUAAAAGAUCGGCACUUUCGAGGAAAAUCGAUCGCCGUGACACAGUAGUACACGCUAGUGGAUUAGUCAAGGUCAAAGGUAUUCGCGUUGCACUGUGUGCGUCUCGGCUUUUGCAUCGCUCGCUAGCCCGCGCGUGUCAGCCGUCCAGUGAGGCCCAUUUUCCCGUCCUCCUCCAUCUCCUCAAAACUGUCAGGUCCGGUUUGACACAUGCCAAGCCGCAGCUCUCGUGAACAAGACGGUGGCCAAGCCUUCAGCUUUCUUUCUCUCCUUUUUAUCAGCUAUCCUUCUUUCUUCUAUCAGGGGUGAAAUGGUAAACUGACCUUACGACACCUUUAACACUGACCAGCAAAUUUGCUUCCACAUCCAUCCACGACAAGGAGGCCUGUUGUUCGCACACGAGCACGUCACCAUGUACCUUCAACGUCAAGGGUGAUGCACCGCAACUCACGUCGAAGGAGAAGGAGAACCGUUCGGAAGCACGAUACGCAAGCAAUCUGGCGGGUGCUUUUCGAGUCCCGAAACCCACAUGCCCGAGAAGGACACCGUGUGGACGCGCGGCGGCUAUGAGCUGCCCUAGGUCGGUUUGCUCACCCCUAGAGCCUCUCUGAAGAACUAACGAAGAACGAGAGAGAAGGAACAAGAGAGAUGUGUAGAAAACUAGGGUAAAAAGUAGAUGGGUUUUGUUGAUUAACCUCUGUCUAUAUAAAGGCGGAUGGACUUUCCGUACAAGAAAAGGACUUGUCUUGCCAUGCAAAUCAUCAAAACCUAACAAAACGCGACCAAGCCCAUAUUUUUUACAGCAGCACAUUGAUAGGGUUGUAACUGUUGCAUAUGACUUUGUAUUAAGAUGAUAUUUAUAUCAAAAUCAACCGAUUCAAUGAGAGGCACAAUUUUGCUGUUGAACACUUUUUGAUCUGAGGCCAUCUUGAGGGGGUUAUCGGGCUGUUUUCUAAAGUCUGCACCAGAAAAAGUUGUCUAGACAUUCGGACUCUUGCUCGGAUCGUCCGGGCUCUACCCGGAUCAUCCUAGAUUCCUCCCAGAUCAUCCGGCUUCGUGGCAAACCUUCUGUCGUCUGGGUCACUCGUCCGGCCUCCUGCUGGAUGAUCCGGCCAUUCACCAUUGGAUCAUGCAGUUUUGCCUGUAACUUUUGCAUAUGACCUCGGAUUAAGAAGAUUUUUUAUAAAAAAAUCAUCUAGUUCAACGAGACGAAGAACUUUGUUGUUGAAACUUAUUUCAUCUAAGGCCAUCUUAAUUGAGUUUUUGGCCAUGAAAAAAAUCUGGCUGCAACACAUGCCCCCUGUUUUUUGGCAAAGCUAGCGUGCCAAAAAAUAUUUUGCACCGUGUUUUCUCUAAGGACGAUGUCGACACUCAAUCGACCAUUUAUAUGGUUAGGGUGAUAAUUAUAUAUCGGCCAUCUUUAUGCUUAGGGCGAUAAUUCUAUAACGUACAUUGAUUUUAACUUCUUGUUUACAUCAUACCUUGGAACCGAUUACCACCAAUCAGCUUUAAAGAUAUGGGAACGAACCCGUUCCUUGUAGCACUAAGGAAAUCAAACUCCGAGAGGUCACACCCUCUUAAGCAAGUAGCAUCGGGAUGAUUCCAAUCCACCGAUGCAUCAGCCAAAGCAACAUCAGCUGAAUUAUCCGCGUGAAUGACUUCUACUUCAUCAUCGACCCAUUGCAUUAAGAAUUGAUGCAUGGUAGAUGGCAUACAUUGGUUAACAUGAACCCAAUCGCGGCCUAAUAUAACAUUAUAGUUACCUUGCACCUCGGCAAUGAAAAAUGUGGUGGCCAAAGUUUUGCUUCCCACAGUGAGUUCCAUGCACAUCACACCUUUGGCUUUUGUCUUUUCUUUACCCUCAAAUCCAUUAAGUAUCAUAUUGAUCUUAAUGCAUCAUUAUGUAACCUCAACUUCUUGAAGACCAAAUAGGGCAUAAGAUUUACCACAACACCACCAUCAAUGAGCAUCCUAGCAAUCAGCGAUCCGUUAAUAUGACCUUUGAGGUACAAUGGCUUCAAGUGUUUCACCAGUUCUUUUGGCUUCUCGAAGAUAGCGUUCUUAGGGCCAUAAUCCAGCUAGGCUCCUCCCCUUCUUCACCUAUAGCACGAAACUCAGCGGGUAAGUAAUACACCAUAUUAGUAUCCAUACCUUCCCGAACAGGCGUAGAUUCAUAAUCCACCAUCUCAUCUUCAUCUCCCAAUGUGUAUAUUGGACUUAAAGUUUCCUGAAUUGAAGGGGAUGUUUCAGGUGGCGUGGACGAUGUAAUAUGGGUAGCAUCAUCCUCUUUUGGUGGUGUAGGUGUUGAUGUAGCUAAUGUAGAAGCAUAUGCGUUUCCUUAUUGUUUAGGCCUCCACACUUGUUUUGUGAGUGCCAUGGGCCGAUUUUUAUUGAACAAUUCGACACUUUGCUUCUCUUCUUUGCGCUCUACCUUCUCGUGGUUCCUCAUGCGAUCUCCUUUUCUUGGUCUUAGUUAAACCGGGAGGACACCACUUAGGUUAAGUAUAUUUGGGAUCCCUAGGUUUGGCCUUGCUGUGCUAGCCUCAUGAUCAUUAGCCAUGGAACCCUGCUGAACAAUAAGAAUAUCACCAUUAGAAUUAGUCAGAUUACCAACAAUCGGCUCUUUGAUCUCCUUUUGCUUGUCACAUUCUGAAAUUUCCGCAUGAGAUGACUUAACACGCCAUACUUUUGUUUUGACCUUGCAUGGAGAAAUUUUUGUUGGCUGAUUAGCACCAUGGCUCGAACGACCUUGUGUGCGAUAAUAAAGCCUCUCAUGAGCAGGCCUUCUAGGUGAUGCCCAUCCCAUAUGAAAAGCAUAAGGAGCCAUUGGGGGCUGCCACCAACCUCCAUUGAAGUCUCCCAUGUAAUUGGCGCAUAGGGGGCGGCAAUAUCCACGGUGUCAGUUCCCAUGACCCAUAUGGCCUUGCAUAACAUUGAAAUUCUUGCUUCGGAGGUGAUCUUGAAUGCUUCUAAGGUGAUGGCCGACUAGAGCUAGAACCGGCCGCUUGAUUGACAUAUUUGGAAAGCAACAUACCAAAAGUUGGCUUGAUUUUCCUGAGCUUAGCUUCACUCUUUUUCCACUUGCCAACUUCUGCAUUCUCAGGCUUGGUAAAUUUAACGAGUAUCCUCUUGUACUUCCAGGAUUUUUAUGGAGAUCUUCAAUACCUCCUACUGUCAUGUUGCUUAUCAAGCACAACCACUCUUCCCAAGACUUUGUCGCCCUCCUUGACUUUUCUGGGUUCACCAAUAACAACAUUGUUUUUAUUAACAGAUUUUGCUAUGUUAGGAUGAAUUAACAUUUUCUUCCCUUCCAUGUCCAUGGUGUUUAUCGGGAAGGGUUGUUUAUCAACUUGCAUCUCAGCAAAAUUCAAUCGCCUGCCAUUAAUGGCCGAUUGUAUCUGUCGUCGAAAAACAUUGCAAUUGUUAGUAGCACGAGAAAAUGAAUUAUGGUACUUGCAAUAAGCACACCAUUUUAGCUCCUCAAACGAUGGUAUGGUGUGUGAUAUUCUAAUCAUCUUAUCUUGCAAGAGAGCAUCAAACAUUUUAUCACACUUGAUAUAUCAAAAGUAAACUUCAUUUUCUCAUCAUGAUUCUUGUGAAUCAGCUUAAGAACAUUGCAUGUAUAGGGUUUGACCUCUGAGGACCAAACAAAUUUAGUAGUAUAGACAUCAACCUCAUCGUCUGAAUUAUCAUCAUUGUAUUCAAUCAUAUGCAUUCUAGGACGAUCGGUUGUAGACCUAUGAACCUCUUUACUUCGACUCUCUUGAGCCAAAGCUUUUUGCAAGACUUGGUUAAUAUUCAGAAACUCAUAACUUUCUAGCCUCACUUUAAUAUGAGUUUUCAAGCCAUUAAGAACAAGAUCCACCAAGUCUCUCUCACUUAUCACUAAGUUAUAACAUCAGUUUUUUAUAUCUCUAAAACUCUUGACAUAAUCGUUGACCCAUUCAUCAUGUUUUUGCCUAACCGAUGUAAGAUGUGACAACUUAAGCUCAUUAUCACCGCUAUAAAAGUGAUCAUGAAACUUUUGCUCUAAUUGCGACCAUAAGAGAAUUGAACCAUGUGGUAAAGUAGCAGGCUAUGAAAAUGCGGUGCCAGUUAAAGAUAAUGGAAAUAAACACACCAAUUCUUCUAUGGAACCUGCUUCACCCAACUGCGCUAGAUACUAACUAACAUGCUCCCAUGUUGUUUUUGUGCCCUCUCCACUAAGUUUAACAAAAUCAAGAACCAUGUAACCUUGAGGGUAGAAAACUACAUCAAAGUGUUCAGUAUAAGGCUUUUGGUAUACAUGACUUUUUUUACUUUUGGAUCGUUUUCAGAAGUUUCUAGAAAUAUCUUAUGCAAAUCCUCCCUUAAUUUAGCUAAAAUUGGAUCCGAGGUCAAUGAAGAUGCUUGUGGCAAUGACAUACGAGCAAUCUGAGUACUAGCUAGUGGUGCAACUUGUGGGAUGGGCGCCGAACCAUAAUUCGGCGAAAGACCAAACAUGCUUGUGCCUAUGGAUGGUGUGACAAAGUGAUUCGGCAUUGACACAAAUUGGGCACACUCAGAAUAGGAUUAGGAUAUGCAGGUGCAGGCCCAAGCUGGUUGGUUUGACUAUGGCAAAGAUUCAAUGACAUAUUAUAUUAUUGUUGCAUAGGAGGUGCUGGUGAAAUAGGUAAACUUGGACUAGGGUUUUUAGAUAUACAAAUAGUACCACUAGAUGACGAAGGCAUAUUUUUCUGAGCAUUAGCACUUGCUACAAAAGAAUUGUAUGUCAUCACAUUACCCUUACUAACAAGACUUUCAAUCAUAGCCAUUUGCUUUGGAGAAAAAGCUUUAUUCAUAGUGAUUUCAUCUUGUUCGUCAAUGAGAGGAGGUAAAUUGACAUUUUCAACCGGAGUGAUCGAAAGGAUCAAUAUGGUUGACUAAAGGGGGGGGGGGGGUGAAUAGGCAACUACCAAUUUUUAGCUUUUCUUAACAAAUUAGGAUUAGCAACAAAUAGGUUGUCUAGAUAUGCAACUAGGUGAAUAACCUAUAUGACACUAGCAACAACAACAACACAAGAAAGCAAGGGAUACAUCACAAAUAAAGCUUGCACAAAGUAAAGGUAAGAAGUAAUCACAAGUGGAGUCGGUGGAGACGCGGAUGUGUUACCAAAGUUCCUUCCCUUUAAGGGGAAGUACGUCUCUGUUUGAGCGGUGUGGAGGGAUAAUGGUCCCCAAGAAGCCACUAGGGCCACCGUAUUCUUGUUGCGCCCUCGCCAAUGCAGGAUGUCGUGAUUCCACUAGUGGUGCCCUUGAAGGCGGCAACCGAACCUUUACAAACAAGGUUGGGGCAAUCUUCACAAUUGAAUUGGAGGCUCCCAACACCACUACAAAGCUUCACCACAUUGGAAUGUGGGUUCAAGGUGACCUAAACCAUCUAGGGUGCUCAAACACCCAAGAGUAACAAGAUCCACAAGGUAGCGAGAGAGACUGAGCAAGAGUGAGUUUUGAGCAACAAUGGAGCUUGGGGGAGGAAGAGGUGAGUCAACUAGAGGAAGAAUACUCACUUAUAUAGUGGGGAAAUGAAUCAAACCGUUAUGCCCCUUCAGGCCGUGCACAAGUGGUAGUACCGCUCGGGUGAGCGGUACUUCUGCUGGUACGGAAGUUUCAGCAGUUGCGUUCAACUAAACAAGUCAGGGAGGCGGUAGUGCCGCCGGAGCGGGACUACUGCUCCCACCAGCGGUACUUGCGCUUAGUGUUGAGCAACAAGAAGAAACAACGGUAGUAGAGGAGGGUAGCGUGGUAGUGCCGCACAUAGCUGGACUACCGCUGGCUACUGCCGCUCUACUUCUGCUCAAAGGACAGAGCAGUCCAGAAGACAAAAACAAGAGGUACUCCCAGUGGUACAAGCACAGAAGCAGUUCCGCCGGGGCUGUACUACCGCUUCCGUGAAAGCGGUACUUCCGUGCUACUAUUAGCAGCCCAGUAAACCUGCGGUAGUGGGGUGCUAGGCACAACCGCAGUACCGCCGGCACGACUGUGCUGAACUACCGCCCUACUACCACUCAUUUACACAGCACCAAGAAUAGGCGGAAGUCCUAGUAGCAUUGAAUUGUGGCAGUACCGCUGAAGCGGUACUACCGUGGUGCAGAGCGGUAGUACCGCUUAUGUGCCUCAAGAAGUCCCAAGCACAAGGGGGGAGAAGCUCCAAAGCUGGAAAGGGAAAGAGGGUGCAAAAAGAUUGUGUACGUGUUGAUUCCACCCAAGCCUAUCCAAAGCCUAACCCGUCUUAAUAGUAUGGUGAUCCUACGACUCAAAUCCACCGAAAAUGAAACGUAAGAAAACAACUGUCUCCACAAUAUCUCCAAGGGGCACGACUCAUCUUGUGCCAUAAGAUAGAUUCUCUGAAAUGCUCAAUGCACACGAUUAGUCUAUAAAAGUAUUGUCAUCAAUCACCAAAAUCACUAAGGGAGAAAUAUGCCCUAACAAUCUCCCCCUUGUGGUGGAUUGAUGACAACACAAGAUUUGCACAAAGAUAGUACAAGAUAAUACGCAAUCCCAACAUCUACAAAAUAUAAGCGGGUCCCCCUAGAUGUGUGCACUAAUUAAGUAUGCCUUUGGAAUGCAAAGCACACACACUAGGAUCAACACUUCCCCUAUAUUUUAUAGACCGGCAACACUUGCAACAACAAUAUAACAUAGAUAAGUAUGGAUGCAAGUAGAUAGCAUGAGAGCAUAAAGAUAGGGCACAAGAUAGAUAACAUCUCACAAGCUAAUAAGGUACUGGACAUAACGAUAUGGAUAGGUUAGCAUAUAUCUCACACCAUAUGACAUGUACUAAAGGUUUCACACAUAAACUAAAGAAAUUCAAACGAGAAAGAGUGCACAAGAGAACGAAAGCAACUACAAAGAAGACACACUCGUGACUCGGCAAAUCCCUAAGCUCUCUCCCCCUUUGGCAUCGAGACACCAAAAGGUCAAAGAGCACUAAACUAGUCAAAGGUGGUAGAGAUGCUCCAGAACAUCAUCAAUACUCCUCGUGCUCAUCAUACUCCUCGUGCUCAUUAGACUCCUCUGUUGCCUUCGGCUGACGCGAGACCUCCGAGUCUGACCACUGGCAAUGUUGCGAGAUCCAUGACUGCUCAUCUGUGAUCCUCUCCUCAAAACCACAAGCAACCUACAGACCCAGGCGCCUCAUCAUGAUCUUGUCACGCGUGCGAGCCUUCUUCUCAGCCACGUGAGCCCUGUACUGUCCCUUAGCCUGUAUGCAGAAGAGCUUCUUCAUCUUUGACUUGAGCUUGGAUGCCCAAGAUGGUUCCUUGUCAGGAGAAGGAACAAACUCAUAGUCUGGCUCAAGCUCAACAUUAGAGUCGCGCGGGCAAUCUCCUUGUUGGGGGCAGCAAGUGCAGUGCCCCAGUUAUCCUUUUGGCACAAGUUUAGUAUGCCAUGGGACACCAUAUUCUCAGUGGGAAGGGACUCCCCUGGAAAUUCAGCAGCCCAAGUCUCCUCAAUCAACUUAAUCAUGUAGGGUCCAUAGAUAGGCACCUUUCGGUCAAGCACAACAUACCGAAGCUCACGCCACAUGAGGUGGGAGAUGUCCAAGGUGAGGUCCUUCUAGAGCUUAGGGAUUUGCUGAGUCACGAGUGUGUCUUCUUUGUCGUUGCUUUCGUUCUCUCGUGUACUCUUUCUCAUUUGAUUUGCUUUAGUUUAUGUGUGGAACCUUUAGCACCUAUCAUAUGGUGUGAGCCAUAUGCUACCCUAUCCUUAUCAUUAUGUCAAGUACCUUAUCAGCUUGUAAGAUGUUAUCUAUCUUGUGCCCUCUCUUUAUGCUCUCAUGCUAUCUACUUGCAUCCAUACUCAUCUAUCUUAUAUUGUUGUUGCAAGUGUUGUCAGUCUAUAAAAUAUAGGGGGAGUGUUGAUCCUAAUGUGUGUGCUUUGCAUUCCAAAGGCAUACUUAAUUAGUGCACACAUCUAGGGGGAGUCCAUCUAUAUUUUGUAGAUGUUGGAUUGCAUAUUAAAACGAAAGGAGGGCAAGUGGCUAUAUCUCCUUGGUUUGUUUCACUUGGAGUUGAUCAUGAGACUCCUUGAGAGAGGCAUGAACACCCUUCAAGACCUUGUGAGCCUUGUCAAGUAUGUAAAACUCAUCCUUGAGUCUAUCAUGGCCCACCCCAGGUGCAACCUUCUCGGAUUUAAGCACACGAGUAAGAACAAGAGCAUGCUCAUGAUCUUUCCUUAGUUUAGCAAUAUCAUCGUUGUGUGACUCCUCAAGAGCCAAAUGAAGACCUCGCUCUUCCUCAAGAGCAAUGGAAAGAUCCGCAAUUUAAUCGGCAUAGUCAUGGUUAUGCCCUUCUAACUUAGAGAUGGUAUCCUCAUCAGACUCAAUGAUAUUAUUGGCCUCACCAAGUUGUUCCAAGAGAGCAACAAAGUGCUUCUUGGUCUCACCUUUGAGCUUACCCAAGAACUUGUCAAACUCAUUUUCAUCCACCCUUACCUCCUCAUUUUAUACACAAAAUGCAACAAAGAAGGAUUAGUAGUGAUGGAAGUUUUGAUGUUGGAGGUUACCUUCUUAAUGCCUUUAGUCGUAAGGCACUAGGGGAUGAUGUUCUCAUUGGUGGCAUCGAAGAGUGACACCUUGUUGGGGAAGAGGUGGCAAUGGCCACAUUGGCUAUUGCCAUUCCUUCACCGCUUGCAGAAAGGUACUCUUCUUGUGCCACCAACCCCUUUUGAGCCACCUUCUUGGUGAAGUUGUUCUUGGUGGGGAAGGUCUUGGCCUUGUGUUUGUAGAUAAGCUUGCCACCAUUGUCUUCCCUCUUCUCAUAGGGGCAAUUCACCAUAAAGUGACUCACAUUGCCACAUCUGUAGCAAGUUCUCACACGUUUCUUGCCCUUCGAGGCACUUGAGUUGUUCUAGGAGAAAUUGGGCUUGGUGUUUCUUUGGUUGCCUAAAAAUUGCCUUUACACAAGAGCCAUGUGCUAGUGGUAAGCAUAUUUGGUGUCUUCAGGGAAACUCUCCUCUUCUUCCUCUUCUUCUCCUUCCGAAAUGGGCUUGACCUUCAAACCAAGGUUGUGCUUCUUUGACCGUUGAACACGAGCUAGAGCAUUGUCGGAGGUCUUGUUCAUGAUUUUCAUGGCAAUAACUCAUCCAACACAUCGCUUAAAGACAAGGUCUGGAAGUCCAUCUUUGACAGAUCGCGGAGGACAUGGCCUUGUUGAAUGGCAUGAUGGCCUUGAGAAACUUGCGCUUGAUCCAAUUAUCAUCCGUAUCCUUGCUCCCAUGAUCCUGAAGAGGGACCGCGAGAGUUUUCAAUCUCUGGUAGAGGUCACGAGGAUCCUCAUCUUCAUUCAUCACAAACUCAUCGACCUCAUCAAGAACCACCACAAAGUUGGACCAAUGAAUGCUUGAGCUUCCCUUGUACAAGGAGUCAAUAUAUUCCCAACAAUCAUUUGCAUGAGAGAAGGGGCACAAGUGAGCUAGGUCUUCGGGAGGCACUGCAGAUUGAAGGAUGAACAAGGCGGAGUGAUUUUAUUGAUUGUCCGCCUCUUCUCUUGGGGUGAUGUUGUUUGGAUCAUGCGGGUAGUAUCCUUGCUUAAUGAUUCUCCAGAGAUUUGUUGAGCUCCGAUUCAAAUGAGACUUGAUGCAAAAAACCCAAUUAGAAAAAAUAUUCUUCACAAGAUUAACGGGACGACUAAGGUUGUUAAUAUGAGGUGUGGGGACCGGUCCUCCAUAGACCAGGGGAGGAGGAUCGAGGCAUGAGUUCCCGUCCCAUUCUUACCAUGAGGGUAAGAGGUAUGAGUACCUUUCACCGCUUCCUUAGUGGAAUUGGCCUCGGACACCGCACGAUGGGAUUAACCACUUGCAACAGAUUAGGAGAAGAUUUCAACCCCUCAAGUAGUUCUUUAAUCAUGGACUUGACCUCGGCCAUUAUAGACAUCUUAAGUGAAGCCAUAGCUUAGUUUAAGUCGUCAUGGGUGGUCGAGUUCAACUCCAUGGCCUCGGGUACUUCCUCAUCCCUAUCCCGGCCGUCAACCAUACUCUUCGGGUGGUGAAACCCUUAAUAAAGAGACGAGGCUCUGAUACCAAUUGAAAGGAUAGGUAUGGUUGACUAGAGGGGGGAUGAAUAGGCAACUACAUUUUUUAGAUUUUCUUAAAAAAAUAGGUUUAGCAACAAAUAGGUUGCUUAGAUAUGCAACUAGGUGAACAACCUAUAUGAUGCUAGCAACAAUAACAACAACACAAGCAAGGGAUACAACACAAAUAAAGCUUGCACAAAGUAAAGGUAAGAAGUAACCACAAGUGGAGUUGGUGGAGACGAGGAUGUGUUACCGAAGUUCCUUCCCUUUGAGGGGAAGUACGUCUCCGUUUGAGCGGUGUGGAGGCACACUGCUCCCCAAGAAGCCACUAGGACCACCGUAGUAUCCUCAUGCCCUCGUCCCCUCACACAAUGCAAGAUGUCGUGAUUCCACUAGUGGUGCCCUUGAAGGCGGCAACUGGACCUUUACAAACAAGAUUGGGGCAAUUUCCACAACUGAAUUGGAGGCUCCCAACACCACCACGAAGCUUCACCACAAUGGAAUGUGGCUCCGAGAUGAUCUCAACCGUCUAGGGUACUCAAACACCCAGGAGUAAUAAGAUCCGCAAGGGAUUAGUGGGAGGAAUCAAAUUUCUCUCGGUGGAAGUGUAGAUCUAGACUUCUCAACCAAUCCCUAAGAAAUCAUCAAGUUUAAUUGGCUAGGGAGAGAGAUCAGGAAAGAAUGAGAUUUUGAGCAACAAUGGAGCUUGGGGGAGGAAGAGGUGAGUCAACUAGAGGAAGACGACUCACUUAUAUAGUGGGGAAAGAGGUGAGUCAACCUCAUGCCGUACUUAUCCUGACUCGGGGUGUCAUCCACGUGAUGAGCGUGGAGCCCCACGGCUGGCGCCAUACGACCUGCCUCGUGAGGCAACUCCCUGGCAGGGCUCUGCCUAACGGCAAGGGGCCUCACGAGGCGACUCGCUGCAGAGCAGCCGAAGCAGGGACACCUAUCAUGGACCGGACCAAGUGUCAUCCUUUAGGCCUGAGGCAGACGGGUUGUGGUACCUUGGUUCCCACUGGGACGACAGUAGCCCUAGGGCCCACGGCCUGCAUGUUUCGCCUGUUGGGGGCGAAGCGACAUGGGGCCCAUCAAGAUGCCGGGCCUAGAGGCGACGCGUGGUGGCUUUUACGGGGUGGGACACCCCCACUACCCACGAUGCCUCAGUAACCGCCAUCCUGGGGAUAAAGGCUGCCCGCACAGGGCGCAGAGACAUCAUUUCCCCCUCGUCUCCGUCUCACCCUUCAUCUUGCACGCGAGAAGCUCCCUUGUUCCUCUUCCUCCAGCUCCCAAUCUUUCCCUGCCGCCAUGGCCUCCUAUAAGAAGCUUGUGACUGCUGAGGUUUCCUCCAACAAGAGUGCCCGGCGACGGAGCUUGGUCCGGCCUUGCUGCCGUCUACUAUCACUGACGAGGGCGGGAUGGCCAGGGCGGGCCACUUGGUGGCCACCGAUCACCAUGAGGGAGGGGCCAUCGAGAUCUAUUGGCUUGCACCCGCGAUGUGACCUGGGCCCCACAGUGAUUCCCAUCUUCUUCCACUCGCUCUUCGCCAGAUUAGUAUCACCCUCCUCUGAUUUCCUCCUCGCCAUCCUAGAGCAUUAUGAGAUCUGUCUGCUCCACCUUCAUCCCAACUCCAUUCCUGUCCUUGCCGUCUUCGCAUACUCAGCGAGGCCUUCCUGGGAGUGAUGCCAUCCGUGCCACUCUUUCGGACCUUUUACAGCCUGUAGAUUCACUCCUCGGGGAACCACCGCUUGGGCAGCGCCUCCUUCCGCAUCGACAAUGAGACGAGCAAGUUCCUCAUCGACAUGAGGACUUUGGAGUAGGUGGAGAACUUCGGGUUGAGCUGGGUGUAUGUCGAUGCCAAGCGGGCCAGCCCUCUAUUCGCGACCCCUACCAAACCGGCCGAGAAGUCCCCUCACUGGGAGCACAAGGAGCUCAGUCGCACCAUUCUGGGACCGAUCUUGGAGGGGCUGGAGGAGCUGCAGAUGGCCGGGCUCACGGUGGUCAUGCGUAACACCCCGAGAAUCAUGCUACAGUAAUCUCCCACUAAUGGUGCCAUGUCAUCAAGUUAGACUAAGCCAAAUUGCUCCUUCAUAAAUCAAAGCCAAAUUCAAAUUUUAAAAUAAAGUCAAAUAAAUUAUUUCUUCAAAGACUAAAACUAAAAUGUUCGAUUUAUUCUACAAAUUCUCCUGAUCUUUGUCAUGUUGAAACUAACUUAAUUUAACUCACAAAUAAAUUCCUAGGAAUUCAAUAUGUGGUCCAAAGGCAUUUAAUUUGGCCUUUUCAAAAUAAACAAAAAUUUCAACAUUUACCCGGUGAGGCCCCAGCCGGUUAGGUUUAGUGGGGGAAAAACCCCCAUUAGCAAUUAACCAUGGUUAAAUAUCCUAAACCCCCCGUUAAAAAGCCCUUGUUCUAAACGUGUGUCUAUGAGAUAUGGGACCAUCCUCUCUUUUUAACCCAAUUACAAAUUAAUUAUAACCUGUUAACAGGUUGAGUCAAUGAUAGUUGGGUCCCACUAGACCCAGUUGACUAGUCAACGCUGACCAGUCAACUGCUGACUUGGCAGUUGACUGGGCCCACCUGUCUUUCCCUCUUGCUAUGUAUCGAGUGGGUACACAUAGCCUUUUACUGUUUAGAUUUGAAAUAUUAUAUAAAUCCAAAAAUUCCAGAAAAUCAUUAAAACUUAGAAAAUCAUAUAAAAUAAUCCUAACUCGAAUGAAAAUACUUUAUACAUGAAAAUUCUUCAGAAAAAUAAGACGAAUCUGAAUAUGCUAUCCACAUGCCUGUCACAUGCCUCCAACACAACAAACAUGGAACCUCCCCUCCAGUUCAUCUGUCCAGAAAAUGCCAAACGUCGGGAAAACAUUCCCAGAUGUUUUCCCGCUUCGUCUGUAUCGUGUAGCACUGCAUUAGGUCACCCUUAGCACUGCAUAUUGUCAUGUCAUGCAUCAUGAUGCAUCUGUUUGCUUUACAUUUAUUGUCUCUUCCCCCUCUUCUCUCUGGUAGACACCGAGAAUGACGCUGCUGCCAUGUACGGCUACACCCCUGAUGUUCAACCCCUUGAAGAACAGCUUCUAGGCAAGCAAAACCACCUUGAUUAUUUCUAUAUCGCCCAUUUCCUUCUCCCUCAUGCUUGCAUUAGAAUUUGCUAUUGUAUUUGAUUGAUCCUAUUCUGAUGCAUAGCCUGAUUUUGUAACAUGAUAUUGUUACUACCUGCUUAUCCUAUAUGCUUAGUAUAGGUUGGUUAGUGAUCCACCAGUGACCCCUCACCUUGUCCAUGUUGCCCCCUCUUUCUCAUCGAUGACUCGAUCAAUGUGAUCGAUGUCCAGAGCCCGACACAUCACCUCACACCCCCUUAGUUAUAAGACUCUACAGAGCUACCAUCGAGUGCCGAGGGUGAUACCUCAUAUAGCAGUUCUUAUGAGAUCUCUGUAGUGUAGCUAAUUGGUCGUGGAUAACGGAGGGUGAUUCCUCCUUCACCACUCCCGAUAAUGACUCUGUCGUGCAACACCUCAUGUGUGAACCCUCGAGGGUGAUUCCUCCAAGUUCACUUGACGGUUACAUCAAGUGGAAUCCAUCGAGGGUGAUUCCUCGGAUUCCCCCUUGGUGUUAUGGACAUACGGUUACUUUGACUUUACCCCAGGGCCAUGAUGAAGUCGGGUCGGCCACGAGGGGUACCCGAGAGAGAAAUGUGAAGUCGGAUUGACCAUCAGGGUACCCAUGAAUGAUGUGGAGUUGGGUUGACCUGGAGGGUACCUGCAAGAUAAAUACACGGCAUGGCCAAGCAUUCCUAGCCCUUGCCGUUAGUCCGUGAGACGGGACCACAGAUCAUGGAUCAUUGAUCGUCUCCGCGUGCUCCCAAGACACUAACUGUUUGGAUAUGUGACCUGAGUAGGCAUCUGGCCUUUUUGCACUAACCACCAUGCAGGAAUAAGUAUGGGCACUCUGUGUUGUACGAUUCCUUCGAGGGUCCACUGACGUUAGUAGUUGAGCAGUAUGCGCCCGGGUGGUCCGUGUAAGCACCCGCUUUGUAUAAAGAGGUAGUUAGGACUGAUCCUGACCGUCCUUGCAAUGCGCAGGAUUGCAAAGGAGAUUGGCCCAUGACCCCUUCGCAAUUAGGAUGUAGACCAGCGUGAUGGCCUCUCUGUUUAGCCUAGGUAGGACUACAACAUGUCGAUCAGCCGAGGCCGACCAUGACCUAGGAAAGUGUGUUCGACCCCUAGAAAAGUGCGUUCAGCCGGACUUACUCGAGCGUGUUGGGUAAGUUUGUGCACCCCUAUAGGGAAUUUAAUCUAUUUGAAUAGCCGUGUCCACGGUAACGACCGCUCGGAGUUGUAUCCCGAUCUUACAACUAGAACUGGAUACUAGAGACACGAAAUGGGUAUGAUGGCUUCGGGACUGCUUUCUCGCAGGGAGUCGAGAAAGGAUCUCUAGGCAUUACUACAACAUAGUUGCUAUUUAUAAUAUGCUAAUCCACACUCUUCUAAUGCUGCAAUAUGCUUCAAGAUGCUAGUCUUCGAUAGGCUAGGCCUUUCCUUCUAUUUUGCCAUUUUUGCAGUUAAGUCCAAAGAAAUAGCCCCAUUCCUUUAACACUAAUGCUUAUUUAGUAUAGAUCUGAUGUAAGUCUUGCGAGUACUUUGGAUGAGUACUCACGAUUACGUUGCUACCCCUUUUCCCUUCCGCCCGAUUGCUGCGAUCAGAUGACGGAUCCCAGGAGCCAGCCGACACUGCCGACGACCACUACUAUCCCGACGGAGCCUACAACUACGUGGAGACCGCCAAUGACCAGGAGUAGUUAGGAGGCUCCCAGGCAGGAGGCCUUGCCUUUUCGAUCGUUGUUGUUGUUUAUGCUAGCUUUCUUAAGGCAGACUUGUUUAAUUAUGUCUGUACUCAGAUAUUGUUGCUUUUGCCGACUGGUUUGUAUUCGAGCUUAUGUAUUCGAGCCCUCGAGGCCCCUGGCUUGUAAUAUAAAGCUUGUAGGACUUUAAUUUGUGUUUUGAGUUGUGUUGUGAUAUCUUCCUGUUAGUCUCUGAUCUUGAUCAAGCACAUUUGCGCGUAUGAUUAGUGCAUGAUUAAGUCGGGGCCUCACAAGUUGGUAUCAGAGACAACUGCCUUUAGGAAGCCCCUUUCCUACUCCUUGGCCGGAGUUGAGUCUAGUCUUUGAAAAACUAUUUUUACUAACAUUUUUGUAUGGCUUACGGGCCCACAUCACAAAUGGGUGGUAUUAGGAUAUUUUAUUCCUCAUCUUUACUCUGGGAUUCUGAUCUCUCUUCUAUUUGGGUUAAAGAUUUGGCAGCUCUAACUUUAGGUUCUCGUAACUACUUUCUCCCGGAGAGCCCCUCAUUCCAAACGAUGGCUUGAUUCACCAGAAGAUUCUGAAGAUACUCUUUGAUGUUUUCCCGAGACCCCUGUGCCCACAACCUUUGCAAUUCCCUACCACCGAUAUAUCCUUAUGGAUAACUACUUACACCUCUCAUUCAUACAUCAUUUCCAGUUGCUCUUGAUAUUACAAGAUACCCCGAAAUUCUCUUUGUUGUUCCGAGAAUACUUUGUGCCUACUGCCUCGCCGUUCCUUGUUGCUUAAAUAUACUUAUGAAUAAUUACUCACCCGUUCAUCCCCACUUGUUCAUGUGUUUGACAAAAUACUUAUAGUUCAAAUGAGUUUUGGAUUUGCUAGAAUUGAAAAACAAAGUAUCUCAACGUUUUGCAGGCAAUCAACAGCACCCUUUUGUUUGAAAUUUAUUCCCAUUUCUUGCAUGGGACCUAAGCAUGCACCCAAGGACAAAGAUUUGAUUUUUCAACCAAUUUAUAUGCACUGGAGCAUGUGCAUGUAGUUCAAAUUUGAAUUAUGCACAUAAAAUGCCUAGAAAACCCAGUUAAUGUAUAAAAUGUCCAAACGAACCCUGAAAAAUUGCAAAAUUUAACACAACACUCUUGUUCUUCUAUGUUGACACUAGAAACAUUUUGAAAGCAAUAAGAGGCAGCGGAUAUCAUUUCGUCCCCGAAGAUGGGACGUUCCCUACCAAAACCAUCAGGUUUAUCGGCAUGUUGAUGCCGCUCCAUGAUAGCAUGCUAUGUUUCAUGAAUUUCAGACGAGUAAGAUUUGCUAGAAUUUAAAAACCAAGAAUCUCAAUGUUUGCGGCCGAGUGACGGUGGCGGGGUGUUUGACAUUCAUUCCCAUUUCUUGCAUGGGACCUAAGCAUGCAACCAAGGACACAGAUUUGAAUUUUCAACCAAUUUAUAUGCAUUAGAGCAUGUGCAUGUAGUUCAAAUUUGAAUUAUGCACACAAAUGCAUCGAAAACUUAAUUAAUGCAUAAAAUGUACAAACGAACCCCAAAAAAUCCCAAAAAUUGACACAACACUCCUGUUGUUCUAUGUUGAAACUAGAAAAAAUUUGAAAGCAAUAAGAGGCAGGUGACAUCAUUUCGUCCCCAAAGGUGGGACGUUCCCUACCAAAACCAUCAGGCUUGUUGUGAGAAGCUUAUACCCAAACCUGCCCCAAAUGGGACAAAAAAUUUACUACGGCAUGUUGAUGCCGCUCCAUGAUAGCAUGCCAAGUUUCAUGAAUUUCAGAUGAGUUUUGGAUUUACUAGAAUUUAAAAACCAGGAAUCUCAAUGUUUGCGACCGAGUGAUGGUGGCAGAGGUGUUUGACAUUCAUUCCCAUUUCUUGCAUGGGACCUAAGCAUGAAACCAAGGACACACAUUUAAAUUUCCAACCAAUUUAUAUGCAUUAGAGCAUGUGCAUAUAGUUCAAAUUUGAAUUAUGCACAUAAAUGAAUUGAAAACUCAAUUAAUGCAUAACAAUGUCCAAACGAACCCCGAUAAAUCCCAAAAAUUGACACAACACUCCUGUUGUUCUAUGUUGACACUAGGAAAUUAGUGAAAGCAAUAAGAGGUAGCGGAUAUCGUUUCGUCCCCAAAGGUGGGACGUUCCCUACCGAAACCAUCAGGCUUGUUGUGAGAAUCUUUGGUUUGUGAGAAGCAUAUCCCCAAACCUGCCCCAAAUGGGACAAAAAAUUUACCAUGGCAUGUUGAUGCUGCUCCAUGAUAGCAUGCCAAGUUUCAUGAAUUUUAGACGAGUUUUGGAUUUACUAGAAUUUAAAAACCAAGAAUCUCAAUGUUUGCAGCCGAGUGACGGUGGCAGGGUGUUUGACAUUCAUUCCCAUUUCUUGCAUGGGACCUAAGCUUGCAACCAAGGACCCCAAUUUACAUGCAUUAGAGCAUGUGCAUGUAGUUCAAAUUUGAAUUAUGCUCAUAAAUGCAUUGAAAAUUCAAUUAAUGCAUACAAAUGUCAAAACAAACCCCGAAAAAUCCCAAAAAUUGACAAAACACUCCUGUUGUUCUAUGUUGACACGAGAAUUUUUUUGAAAGCAAUAAGAGGCAAUGGAUAUCGUUUCGUCCCCAAAAGUGGGACAUUCCCUACCGAAACCAUCAGGCUUGUUGUGAGAACCUCUAGUUUGUGAGAAGCAUAUCCCCAAACCUGCCCCAAAUGGGACAAAAAUUUUACCACGGCAUGUUGAUGCCGCUCCAUGAUAGCAUGCCAAGUUUCAUGAAUUUCAGACGAGUUUCAGAUUUACUAGGAUUUAAAAACCAGGAAUCGCAAUGUUUGCGGCCGCGUGACGGUGGCAGGGUGUUUGACAUUCAUUUCCAUUUCUUGCAUGGGACCUAAGCAUGCAACCAAGGACACAAAUUUGAAUUUUCAACCAAUUUAUAUGCAUUAGAGCAUGUGCAUGUAGUUCAAAUUUGAAUUAUGCUAUAAAUGCAUUGAGAACUCAAUUAAUGCAUAAAAAUGUCAAAACGAACCACGAAAAAUCCCAAAAAUUGACAAAACACUCCUAUUGUUCUAUGUUGACAUGGGAAAAUUUUUGAAAGCAAUAAGAGGCAAUGGAUAUCGUUUCAUCCCCAAAGGUGGGACAUUCCCUACUGAAACCAUCAGGCUUGUUGUGAGAACCUCUAGUUUGUGAGAAGCAUAUCCCCAAACCUGCCCCAAACGGGACAAAAAGUUUACCACGACAUGUUGAUGUCGCUCCAUGAUAGCAUGCCAAGUUUCAUGAAUUUCAGAUGAGUUUUGGAUUUACCAGAAUUUAAAAACCAGGUAUCUUAAUGUUUGCGGCCGAGUGAUGAUGGCAGGGCGUUUGACAUUCAUUCACAUUUCUUGCAUGAGACCUAAGCAUGCAACCAAGGACACAUAUUUGAAUUUUCAACUAAUUUAUAUGCAUUAGAGCAUGUGCCUGUAGUUCAAAUUUGAAUUAUGCACAUGAAUGCAUAGAAAACUCAGUUAAUGUAUAAAAAUGUCCAAGUGAACCCCGAAAAAUCCCAAAAAUUGACACAGCACUCGUGUUGUUCUAUGUUGACACAAGAAACAUUUUGAAAGUAAGAAAAGGCAACAUAUAUUGUUUCGUCCCCCAAGGUGGCACAUACCCUACUGAAACCAUCAGGCUUGUUGUGAGAGAAGCUCUGGUUUGCGAGAAGUUUAUGCCCACAACUGCCCCAAAUGGGAUAAUAUUUUAACCACGACAUGUCGCUACCGUUCCAUGAUAUCAUGUCAAGUUUCAUGAAUUUCAGAUGAGUUUUCGAUUUACUAGAAUGUUAAAAGCAUGCAUCUCAAUGCUAGCGGCUGAGCGAUAGUGAAGGUGUUUGACAUUCAUUCUCAUUUCUUGCAUGUGACCUAAGUUUGCAACCAAGGACAAACAUUUGAUUUUGCAACCCGUUUUUAUGCACUGGAGCAUGUGCUUCAAUUUUGAAUUGUGCACCUGAAAUGGCUAGAAAACCAAUUUAAUAUAUAAAAUUUCCAAACGAACCCUGAAUAAUUCCAAUUUUUUUACGGCACACAUAUAGUUGCAUGUUCACUAUAGAUAAAAGGUCUAGCAAUUCAAACACCGUCCAUUGCCGCUGUGACCCCAUUAUGUAAUUCAAAUCAAAAUGAAAAAUCAAGUAGAUCCCACAAAGUUUAUUAUCACCAACCGUGUGAGAUGUAGUACAAAAUAUCCUGGAGCAUCAUUGAUGUAUAGUACACCUAUGGCUUACGCAAGAAGGUGUGUCGGCUACAGUCCAUAGUCGGCAUGUCAAGCACACUAGCUCGCUCCCCAAAUAUCAUUUCACUGUUCCAUCAUCGCCAGUGAAAGAUGGGGACAUGGACCCGCGUCGUGAGGGCAACUUCGGCGGCCCACUUUGGCGAGAGCGCGACUGCAACCGCCAUGCACGUGCUAACAAGGUGCAUGAGCGCGGCCGCAAUCUGCGACCGGGCGGCCAAGAAAGCCCAAACGUCCGCUAUUGCUUCUUAGGUGGUGGAAGCAACAUCUGCCUUGGGGAUAGCAACUGGCGAGAGCGGCACAACAGCUGUCCUUUCCACAGCGACAGCCUUAGCCCUGAUGGAGGCCGCCCACGACCAUGUCGAGGCCGCCCACGCCUAGCUCAUGGCAGUCACCUCACAAAUCAAACGAAGCUUCUCCGACAACGGUCGGCAAGCCACGACCGAAGAGUUGGCAAUUGCCGAGAGCGUUCGAGCAGCCGUCCGUUCCUCCACCACAUACCUUGCGACGACGGAGCCCGUCCAAGCCCAGAUCACGGCCGCCCAUGCCCUACUCGUGGCGGCCUUUUCCAAAGAGAUGGCUGAUGCAUAUGGCGAGAUGCUUGCCAAAUAUGGUGCGAUGGAUGCCAUGGAGCUCCUUCCCGAGGAGACAAUCGGGCGCGAGCUGGACAUGGAGGAGCCGGCGGAGAUCGACGAGCACCAGCCAUAGUAGUACUCUUUGUUUUGUUUAAUUAAGAGCGCUGGUCUUUAAUUUGUUAGAGUAAUGUUUAGGCCAGCUAGCUCUGUUUAAUUGUUGAACUUGCUCGAUUAAGAAGUGUUGGUGUGCUGUAGUCUCCUUUGUGUACCCAAAUUAUGCAAUGACGUGGAUGAGCACUGUAACCAGGGAAAUUGGAACCAAAUUUUUUGACAUUCGAACUCAUCACACACAUGUUAAGCUAUCUGAAUCGUUUGUGAUGUUCACAUAUUGUACACAGUUCUGAAUAAGGGACCGUGUCUGAUGACACUUUGCGCGCCAGUGUUUUCAUUGCAACGAUUCCAAAAUUUUGGCUUCCGUGGAAAUAUCUACCUCCCCGCCCCCUCCCCUUACCAAAAGCCACAUUUCCCCUGUUUCCGCCUUCCUUUCCAAGUUGAAACCUUCAAUCCUUGCCUGCAGCACCGCCCCCCUCGAGGGCGACCCUCCUUCACGCUACGACCUCGUCUAUCUAGGCAGGUAAUCCACACCAGACCCCAUCCUCCUCCUCCUUCCACAUCCCACAUGCCCCACUGCCGGCGCGACACAUUCCACCCAAAUCACCGACCCCUACACCAAAUAAGCGCCGCCCUAAGCCAUGGUGCACGCAGUAUAGCCAGGAGCUCAAGGAGCAUUUGGCAGUGGAGAAGCAAAUCGUAGCUGCAUGCGCAGAUGAGGUUGAUGACCCACAAGUGUAGGGGAUCUAUCGUAGUCCUUUCGAUAAGUAAGAGUGUCGAACCCAACGAGGAGCAGAAGGAAAUCAUAAGCGGUUUUCAGAAAGGUUUUCUCUGAGCGCUGAAAUUGUAGGUAAUAGAUAGUUUUGUGAUAAGAUAAAUUGUAACGAGUAACAACCAAUGAAAGUAAAUAAAGUGUAGCAAGGUGGCCCAAUCCUUUAUGUAGCAAAGGAUAAGCAUGGACAAUUUCUUAUAAUGAUAAAGGAGCUCCCGAGGACACAUUGGAAUUAUCGUCAAGCUAGUUUUCAUCACGUUCAUAUGAUUCACGUCCGAUACUUUGAUAAUUUGAUAUGUGGGUGGACCGGUGCUUGGUUACUGCCCUUACUUGGACAAGCAUCCCACUUAUGAUUAACCCCUAUUGCAAGCGUCCGCAACUACAAAAGAAGUAUUAAGGUAAACCUAACCACAUCAUUAAACAUAUGGAUCCAAAUCAGCCCCUAACGAAGCAACGCAUAAACUAGGGUUUAAGCUUCUGUCACUCUAGCAACCCAUCAUCUACUUAUUACUUCCCAAUGCCUUCCUCUAGGCUCAAAUAAUGGUGAAGUGUCAUGUAGUCGACGUUCACAUAACACCACUAGAGGAAAAGACAACAUACAUCUCAUCAAAAUAUCGAACGAAUACCAAAUUCACAUGACUACUAAUAGCAAGACUUCACCCAUGUCCCCAGGAACAAACGUAACUACUCACAAAGCAUAUUCAUGUUCAUAAUCAGAGGAGUAAUAAUAUGCAUAAAGGAUCUGAACAUAUGAUCUUCCACCAAGUAAACCAAUUAGCAUCUACUACAAGGAGUAAUCAACACUACUAGCAACCCACAGGUACCAAUUUGUGGUUUUGGUACAAGAUUGGAUACAAGAGAUGAGGGUUUUGAGAGGAGAUGGUGCUGGUGAAGAUGUUGAUGGAGAUUGACCCCCUCCCGAUGAGAGGAUCGUUGGUGAUGAUUUCCCCCUCCCGGAGGGAAGUUUCCCCGGCAGAACAGCUCUGCCGAAGCUCUAGAUUGGUUCCGCCUCAUGGCGGCGGAGUUUCAUCCCGUAAGCUUGUCCAUGAUUUUUUCCAGGGUAAAAGCCCUCAUAUAGCAGAAGAUGGGCACCAGGGGGCCACCAGGGGCCCCAGGAGACAGGGGACGCGCCUAGUAGGGGUGGGCGCGCCCCCACCCUCCUGGCCAGGGUGUGGCCCCCUGAUGUAUUUCUUUCACUCUAUAAUUCUUAUUAAAUCCAAAAACAUGUUUUGUGGAGUUUCAGGACUUUUGGAGCAGUGCAGAAUAGGUUUCCAAUGUUUGCUCCUUUUCCAGCCAGAAUUCUAGCUGCCGGCAUUCCCCCUCUUCAUGGUAAACCUUGUGAAAUAAGGGAGAAUAGCCAUAAGUAUUGAGAUAUAAUGAGUAAUAACAGCCCAUAAUGCAAUAAAUAUUAAGCAUGAUGCAAAAUGGACGUAUCAACUCCCCCAACCUUAGACCUUGCUUGUCCUCAAGCGGAAGCCGAUAUCGAAAAAUAUGUCCACAUGUUUAGAGAUAGAGGUGUCGAUAAAAAUAAAAUACGGACAUGAAGGCAUCAUGAUCAUUCUUAUAACAACAACAUAUAUAGAUUUUAUCAUAUGAUUUCUUAUACUCAAGUAACAAUCAAUUCAAAAUGUCAAGUAUGGUUCAAAAACUUCAUUGAGAACUAACAAACUUUAAUCUCAGUCAUUGAAGCAAUUGUAAUUUAUCAUAACAUCGGAAAGAGUCAACAAUAGAGCCUUUCAGAAAAUCCACAUACUCAACUAUCUUGUAGUCUUCUACAAUUGCUAACACUCACACAAUACUUAUGGUUAUGGAGUUUUAAUCGUACACUGAGAAAGAUAAGGGCUUAUUAUUCCGCCUCCCAACCUAUUCACCUUUGGGUGAUGUCAACAAUAAUAGUUCAUGCUAACUUACAUCCAAUUGGAUAUAUAUACCAGGAUCUUUCCAACACGAGGUGCUUGCCAAAGGAUAAAAUGAAAAGGGAAAGGUGAAGAUCACCUUGACUCGUGCAUAAAGUAAAAGACAUAAAGUAAAAGAUAGGCCCUUCGCAGAGGGAAGCAGAGGUUGUCAUGUGCUUUUAGGGUUGGAUGCACAAAAUCUUAAUGCAAAAGAACGUCACUUUAUAUUGCCCCUUGUAUGUGGACCUUUAUUAUGCAGUCCGUCGCUUUUAUUGCUUCCACAACAAGAUCGUACAAAGCUUAUUUUCUUUGCACUAAUAAGUCAUACAUAUUUAGAUAGCAAUUUUUAUUGCCUACAACAUGACAACUUACUUGAAGGAUCUUACUCAAUCCAUAGGUAGGUAUGGUGGACUCUCAUGGCAAAACUGGGUUUAAGGAUAUUUGGAAGCACAAGUAGUAUCUCUACUUGGUGCAAGGAAUUUGGCUAGCAUGAGGGGGAAAGGCAAGCUCAACAUGUUUGGAAGGUCAAUGACAAUAUACUUUAACUAAGAUGUGAGAAAACAUAAACCAUUAUGUUGUCUUCCUUGUCCAACGUCAACUCUUUUAGCAUGUCAUACUUAAUGAGUGCUCCCAAUCAUAAAAGAUGUUCAAGAUAUUAUAUUUAUAUGUGAACCUCUCUUUCCUUAUCACUUCCUAUUAAUUGCAACGAUGACCAAAACUACGUUUAUCAACUCUCAACAACUUUUAUGCCUCAUACUUCCUAUGUGUGAAGUCAUCACUAACCAUAAGAUCAAUAUGAACUCUUUUAUUCUUUCUACUUUCUCAAGAUCAUAGCAAGAUAGCAAAGCCCUUGACUCAACACUAAUCUUUAUUAUAGAUAGCUCACGGACUCGAAUACAUAAAGAGAUCACAAAGCAAAACUCAAACUACUUGAUAUCAAAACUUCAAUCUACUAAAUCAAGAUACUACUAAAAGGAUCAAACUAAAUAAAAUAGUAAAGAUAGGAGUGUGAUGGUGAUACGAUACCGGGGCACCUCCCCCAAGCUUGGCAGUUGCCAAGGGGAGUGCCCAUACCCAUGUAAUUAUGUCCUCGGAGGUGGUGAAGGGGGAGUUGUUGAUGAUGUAGGCUUGUCGUCCAUCUUCCAAGGCAUAGGCUCACCAUCAUAGAAGGAUGAUCGAGUCUCCGGGAUCCUUAAAUCUGCAGCCAAACUCAUCCUCUUGAAUCUAUAUUCAUACUCACAGUUCUGGUUUUGCAGGUCAUAGAUCUAAGCUUGGAGGUGCUCAAUUUUCUCUUGAAGCUUGAAGAUGGUCUCCCCAAUGACUUUGGCGUCUAGCUUGUGUUUGUUGGUUAACUCCGUGAUCAUCAUCUGGUUGGCGUUGAGUCCACGCUCCACCAUCCCUUGGCACUUGAAAACUUGCUGCUCCACGGCUUCGAGCUUUGUCUCCACGCUUUCGGUACGCCUUGGUCCCUCCACAUUGCAGAUGUGCAGCACCCCCUCACACAUCUUAAUGGAUUGAGGGUGUUGCAGCACCUCCAAGAGAUAGGGUUGAUAACCCUCUCGAAAAACUUCUCCUUGGGAGUGCUUGGAGGCGCCAUGAUGCUCUAGAUCUGAAAAAGAAACAACUCGAAAUGAAAAUAGAGGAUAUUUGCAUGAUACGGUGGUCAAAACCUUCGGGAGUAUAUAUAAUGAAUUUUUACUGACCAAAAUACGUAACGUGCAAGAAAACGAAGUCCGGGAGGCACUCGGGGUGUCCACGAGACAGGGGGGCGCGCCUAGUAAGGGUGGGCGCGCCCUCCACUCUCGUGGGGGCCUCGUGUCCCUCUCAGACUACUUCUUUCUUCCUAAAAUUCUUAAAUAUUCCAAAACUGAUAAAAAUUGCCAUUGUAGUUGUUUUGGAGUCGGUUUACUUACCAUACCACGUACCUAUUCCUUUUCGUAGUCUGGAACGUUCUGGAAAGUGUCCCUUAUGUAUUCCUCUGGGGUUACGGUUUCAAUAAUAUUAGUUUCAACAUUAAUAGGAUUACCUAAAAUAUAAUGUUUAAUUCUUUGACCGUUUACCACCCUCAGACUUGUGCCUUCGAAGUUGUUGAUUUUUAUGGCACCAGAACGAUAGACCUCCUCGAUAACGUAAGGACCUUCCCAUUUAGAGAGAAGUUUUCCUACAAAAAAUCUUAAACGAGAGUUGAAUAAUAACACAUAAUAUCCUAUGUUAAACUCACACUUUUGUAUCCUUUUGUCAUGCCAGCGUUUGACUUUUUCUUUGAAUAGCUUGGCAUUCUCAUAGGCUUGGGUUCUCCAUUCAUCAAGUGAGCUAAUAUCAAACAACCUCUUCUCACCGGCAAGUUUGAAGUCAUAGUUGAGCUCUUUAAUAGCCCAAUAUGCUUUAUGUUCAAGUUCAAGGGGUAAAUGACAUGCUUUUCCAUAAACCAUCUUAUAAGGAGACAUACCCAUAGGAUUUUUGUAUGCAGUUCUAUAGGCCCAUAAUGCAUCAUCAAGUUUUUUGGACCAAUUCUUUCUAGAUCUAUUGGCAGUCUUUUGCAAAAUUAAUUUGAGCUCUCUAUUGCUCAACUCGACUUGACCACUAGACUGCGGAUGAUAAGGAGAUGUGAUUCUAUGAUUAACAUCAUACUUAGCAAGCAUCUUAUGGAAAGCACCAUGAAUAAAAUGUGAACCACCAUCAGCCAUAAGAUAUCUAGGGACUCCAAACCUCGGAAAAAUAACUUCUUUAAGCAUUUUAAUAGAGGUGUUAUGAUCAGCACUACUAGUUGGAAUAGCUUCUACCCACUUAGUAACGUAAUCAACAGCAACUAAAAUAUGUGUGUAACCAUUGGAGGCAGGAAAAGGUCCCAUAUAAUCAAAGCCCCAAACAUCAAACGGUUCGAUAACAAGAGAAUAGUUCAUAGGCAUUUCUUGACGUCUACUAAUAUUACCAAUUCUUUGUCAUUCAUCACAAGAUAAGACAUUACAAGCAUCUUUGAAGAGAGUAGGCCAAUAAAAACCAGAUUGCAGUACCUUGUGUGCAGUUCUAUGUCUAGCGUGGUGUCCUCCAUAUGAUUCAGAGUGACACCUGCGUAGGAUCUGUUCCUGUUCAUGCUCAGGCACACAACGUCUAAUAACACCAUCUAAGCCUUCUUUAUAAAGGUGUGGGUCAUCCCAGAAGUAAUGUCUUAAAUCAUAAAAGAACUUUUUCUUUUGCUGGUAUGUGAAACUAGGAGGUAUAAAUUUAGCAACAAUGUAAUUAGCAUAAUCAGCAUACCAGGGAGCAGUACGAGAAGCAUUAAUGACCGCUAAUUGUUCAUUAGGAAAGCUAUCAUCAAUAGGCAGUGGGUCAUCAAGAACAUUCUCUAACCUAGAUAAGUUGUCUGCAACGGGGUUCUUAGCUCCCUUUCUAUCAAUAAUAUGCAAAUCAAAUUCUUGGGGCAGGAGAACCCAUCUAACGAGUCCAGGCUUAGCGUCUUUCUUUUCCAUAAGAUAUUUAAUAGCAGCAUGAUCAGUGUGAAUAGUAACUUUGGAAUCAACAAUAUAAGGUCUAAACUUAUCACAUGCAAACACAACUGCUAAGAAUUCUUUUUUAGUAGUAGCAUAAUUUCUUUGGGCAGUAUCAAGAGUCUUACUAGCAUACCGGAUAACAUUCAAUUUCUUAUCAACUCUUUGCCCUAGAACAACACCUACACCACAAACACUAGCAUCACACAUAAUUUCAAAAGGUAAAUUCCAAUCAGGUGGCUGAACAAUAGGUGCAGUGAUCAAAGCUUUCUUAAGUAUUUCAAAAGCUUCUACACAAUCAUCAUCAAAGACAAAAGGAAUAUCUUUUUGCAAUAAAUUAGUGAGAGGCCUAGAGAUUUUAGAAAAGUCCUUAAUGAACCUCCUAUAAAAACUGACAUGACCAAGGAAACUUCUUAUACCUUUUAUGUCCUUGGGACAUGGAAUCUUUUCAAUAGCAUCAACUUAGGCUUUGUCAACUUCAAUACCUCUCUCGGAAAUCUUAUGCCCCAAGACAAUGCCUUCAUUAACCAUAAAGUGACACUUUUCCCAAUUCAGGACGAGACUAGUGUCUUCGCAUCUCUGUAAAACUCGAUCAAGGUUGCUUAAACAAUCAUCAAAAGAGGAUCCAUAGACGGAGAAGUCAUCCAUGAAUACCUCACAAAUCUUUUCACAAAAAUCAGAGAAUAUAGCCAUCAUGCAUCUUUGAAAGGUAGCAGGUGCAUUACAUAAACCAAAAGGCAUACGUCUAUAAGCAAAAGUACCGAAAGGGCAAGUAAAAGUAGUUUUAGAUUGAUCCCCCGCUGACACAUGUAUUUGAGAGAAGUCAGAAUAACCAUCUAGAAAGCAGAAAUGUGUAUGUUUGGAUAGUCUUUCUAGCAUUUGAUCAAUAAAAGGUAAAGGGUAAUGAUCUUUCUUAGUGGCUUUAUUUAACUUACGGAGAUCAAUUACCAUCCUAUAACCUGUAAUAAUUCUUUGCGGGAUCAAUUCAUCUUUAUCAUUAGGUACAACGGUAAUACCUCCCUUUUUAGGAACACAGUGGACAAGACUUACCCAUUUACUAUCAGCAACGUGAUAAAUUAUACCUGCUUCAAGGAGCUUUAGUAUCUCCUUUCUUACCACUUCUUUCAUCUUGGGAUUCAGUCAUCGUUGAGGAUCCCUAAUUGGUUUGGCAUCUUUCUCCACUGCAAUUUUGUGUUGGCAUAAUGUGGGACUAAUGCCCUUAAGAUCAUCCAGAGUAUAUCCAAUAGCAGCUCGGUGCUUCUUCAGAGUUUUCAAUAAUCUUUCUUCUUCUUGCGCUGAAAGGUUAGCACUAAUAAUAACAUGAUAUAUUUUCUUCUCAUCAAGAUAAGCAUACUUAAGAUUAUUAGGUAAUGGUUUGUGUUCAAACACGUGAUCACCCUUGGGUAGAGGGGGAUCCCCAAGAAUUUUAACAGGAAGGUUAUGUUUCAACAUAGGUUCCUGUUUAAGGAACACUUCAUAUAUUUCCCUUCUUUCCUUCAUAAACAUAUCAUUUUCAUGGUCUAGCAAAUAUUGUUCUAAGGGAUCAGUAGGAGGCACGACAAUAGAAGCAAUACCAAUAAUCUCAUCCUUACUAUGUGAUUCUCUAUCACGGGGUUGUCUAGGAAAUUUAGCAAAAUUAAACUCAUGUUUCAUAUCCCCCAAGCAAAUUUCAACAAUAUCCUUUUCACAGUCAAUCUUAGCUUUAACAGUAUUCAAGAAGGGUCUACCAAAAAUAAUGGGGCAAAAAUCAUCUUGUGGGGAACCAAGAACAAGAAAAUCAGCAGGGUAUUUAACCUUCCCACACAAGACUUCAACAUCUCUAACUAUCCCGACUGGUUUAAUGGUAUCCCUAUUAGCAAGCUUAAUAGUAACAUCAAUGUCUUCUAAUUCAACGGGUGCAAUUUCGUGCAUAAUUUUUUAUAUAGAUCAUAGGGUACUGCACUAGCACUAGCACCCAUAUCACAUAAGCCAUGAUAACAAUGAUCUCCUAUUUUAACAGAAAUAACAGGCAUGCCUACGACAGGUCUAUGUAUCUUAGUAUCUGGUCUAGCAAUAUUAGCAGUCUCACCACAGAAAUAAAUAACAUGCCCAUCUAAAUCAUCGUCCAAGAUAUCUUUAACCAUAGGAAUACUAGGUUCAACUUUGAUUUGCUCAGGAGGUGUAUAAGUCCUAGUAUUACUCUUACGAACAACAGUUGAAGUUUUAGCAUGAUCCUUUAUCCUAACAGGGAAAGGAGGUUUCUCAACGUAAGUAGUAGGAACAAUAGGAUCACUAUAGGUGAUAGUCUUUUCUUCAACUAUAAUAGGUGCAACUACUUUAACUUCAACGGGAGGAUUAUAUUUAAACCAUUUCUCCUUAGGGAGAUCAACGUGAGUAGCAAAAGAUUCACAGAAAGAAGCUACUAUCUCAGAGUCAAGUCCAUAUUUAACGCUAAAUCCACGAAAAGCAUUGGUAUCCAUAAAAGAUUUAACACAAUCAAACUUAGGUGUCAUACCUGACUCCUUACCAUCGUCGGAACCCCAAUCUUCAGAGUUGCGUUUAAUCCUUUCCAAUAAGUCCCAUCUGAAGUCAAUAGUCUUCAGCAUAUAAGAACCAACACAGGAAGUAUCAAGCAGGUUGCGAUCAUUGAGAGAAAGCCGAGCAUAAAAUUUUUGAAUAACCAUUUCCCGGGAGAGCUCAUGAUUGGGGCAUGAAUAUAACAUUGACUUAAGCCUCCCCAAGCUUGAGCGAUGCUUUCUCCUUCGCGAGGCCAGAAAUUAUAUAUGUAAUUACGAUCACGAUGAACAAGAUGCAUAGGAUAAAACUUCUGGUGAGAUUCCAACUUCAAUCGUUUAUAAUUCCAAGAUUUCGUAUCAUCACAUAGCCUAUACCAUGUCAAUGCAUCUCCCUUCAAAGAUAAAGGGAAGACCUUCCUUUUGACAACAUCAUCAGGAAUACCUGCAAGCUUAAAUAAUCCACAAACUUCAUCCACAAAGAUAAGGUGUAAAUCAGGAUGCAAUGUUCCAUCUCCUGUAAAUGGAUUAGCUAGUAGUUUCUCUAUCAUACCCGAAGGAAUCUCAAAGCAAAUAUUUUCAAAAAUUUCAGUAGGUUGAGGAGCAACUCCUUGCUCUUCUGGUCGGGGUUAAGAUACCCCGAACAAGCCCCUCAAAGGAUUAGUUUCCAUAGUGACAAGUAACAGAAAAUUUCAGCACACUAUAUAAAUGUUUCCUCACCAAGUUCCACUCACCAAAAGUGCUACACUCCCCGACAACAGCGCUAGAAAAGAGUCUUGAUGACCCACAAGUGUAGGGGAUCUAUCAUAGUCCUUUCGAUAAGUAAGAGUGUCGAACCCAACGAGGAGCAGAAGGAAAUGAUAAGCGGUUUUCAGUAAGGUUUUCUCUGAAGGCACUGAAAUUGUAGGUAAUAGAUAGUUUUGUGAUAAGAUAAAAUGUAACGAGUAACAAGCAAUGAAAGUAAAUAAAGUGCAGCAAGGUGGCCCAAUCCUUUAUGUAGCAAAGAGUAAGCCUGGACAAUUUCUUAUAAUGAGAAAGGAGCUCCCGAGGACACAUGGGAAUUAUUGUCAAGCUAGUUUUCAUCACGUUCAUAUGAUUCGCGUUUGGUACUUUGAUAAUUUGAUAUGUGGGUGGACCGGUGUCACGACCGGUUUUUCAAUAAAAUACUUAUUGAGAAAAUCGAUCUUUUGAUCCCAGUAUAGGAAAAGUUAUCCUCAUUGUUAGACAAAUACUUGAUAUACAGAGAACCAGUAGUAUUAAAUAUAUUACAGGGUUGAGCUGAGGCUGCUCAACAAUUUAUUACAAACACACCAAUAUCAUACAUAAGGGCAGUUGCGACAUAGGGGUGUGGUGACAUGCUACUAGCUCGAGAUAAAACUGGUGGUGGAUAACUUGACUCCUAACUGGCAGCUCAUCGAGCGUCGAGGUGAGGCUCGAUGAAUUUAUUUCUGGGCUGGCGAAAGCGGAUAUAACACAAUGACCAAAAGCAGGAUCGCACGGGACUGACUGGGACUCCUCUAGGCGUCGGACUCGCUAUCGAACUCUUCAUCCAUGAGAUCACCUUCAUCAACAUUUGGCCAAAUCAACAAGCCAGGUGAGUACUUUGAAAGUACUCGCAAGACCGUUCGGACAAAAGAUAUAACAAAUGCAUGCACGAAUGCGUCAUGAGCAAAAAGAUAAUAAUGCUCAUUUCAAUAAUAAAAUUUUGCACGACUUGAUAAGUAAAACAAAUAACUGAAAACCGAUCGGGUGUCUGGAGCGACGCCUCGAAAGGUAAACAAAUAAAGCUCAUGCUGCAGUCGGGCGUCUAAGCGACAACACAUAAAGGGCUUAUAAAAGAAAUGCCACAGUCGGGCGUCUCAGCGACACCACAUAAAGGGCUUAUAAAAAGAAUGCCUCAGUUGGGCGUCUCAGCGACACCACAUAAAGGGCUUAUAAAAGAAAGGCCACAGUCAGGCGUCUCAGCGACACCAUAUAAAGGGCUUAUAAAAGAAAUGCCACAGUCGGGCGUCUCAGCGACACCACAUAAAGGGCUUAUAAAAAGGAUGCCUUAGUCGGGCAUCUCAGCGACACCACAUAAAGGGCUUAUAAAAGAAAGGCCAUAGUCGGGCGUCUCAGCGACACCACAUAAAGGGCUUAUAAAAGAAAUGCCACAGUCGGACGUCUGAGCGACAUCGCAGAAAGGGCUUAUCUCGAUAAUAAAUAACAAGUGUGCCACAGUCGGACGUCUAAGUGACAUCACGGAAAGGGCUUAUAUCAAAUGUAAAUAACGGGUUAGUCCAUCCACAAGAAUAAAAUUUUAACCGGAUUUAACACUCAUGUAGUUCACCGGAGUUGUGUCACUGAAGCUGAUAUCUGACAAGAUAAGAUGAACACAGUACUUGGACAUGUACAAGAUGAUUUAAAGGAUUUGUGACUCUGUAGAGUUUGAAUUAACUGUCCACAGCCAACGGAUUUCCGUAGUCACGAAGGACUAGUUCUGUUUACGGUAUUUCGGUAGAAACACAUUUAACCAGUACACACCCAUUCCACCUCACGAUGCCAGGAAUCACCCUAGACAACGUCCAAGAAAAACUUUGAGACGGGGAGGUCACAACCUCGAAUAGCAUGGGAUCAAAUUUCUAUACGCGCGCUCUAAGGGGUGCCCCCCUCUCGGUCCCAACCGGAAACACCCAUGCCCCCUGACCGGAUGACGGGCUUUAAUCCAGGGCCAUGGAACCCUCAUCCCGACCUCUCUAUUUUGUGUGUACCAGGAAAAACGGUUUGCAACUUACUAAGCCAUAUUCCUUGCGGAAAACAUGUGGCAGUACAGGAAAGGAAAUGAAUGGGAAUAUGAUUUGAUUCACGAUGACACUGAAGUCAAAUAGACUGGCAUAAGACUGGCAUGCCACAACACUGCCGUCUUACCCAUCCUCAUGCCAUCACAUGGCCAUGCAAAUAUGUAUCCAACAACAUAUGGAUUUCCGAAACUCACUUUCCACUUCUUUUGCAUGAAAAAUAACAUUCAAAGAAAUGUUCAUAAACAUGCCAUGAAACUCCUAAAUGCAAACAUGCAUCAAACACUCAUCAUAUCAAGAGUUCAAACAUGCUUUCCUGGUUCGGAGUAGUCGGAGUCUAACUGGGUGAAGUUCGCGGCUCCGUCACCUCCUCCUACAUCUACGGUAUAAGAAAAAUACGUACGUAACGUAAAUACUGCGAGGUGCACAAAAGUAUUCCAAAUAAUUCUCAAAUAAAUAUGAUAAAAAACUAGAUAAAAUUUUAAAGGGGACAGAAGAAGAAUCAAACAAAAUCCUUUUCUGUUUAAAAGAUAUAAGGGUUUUGAUUCAUGGAACUUUCUGUAAUGAAACAGAAAACUCCGAGGGGGGUUCUGGAGAAAAGUCCAGAAAAAGAUUCAAAACUGGAAAGCGCAUUUUGCCAAAAUACGCUUUCAGAAAACGGUUCGAUUAAUAAGAAUGAGAGACUGAUAGGCGGGUCCCACCUGUCAGGUUUGAAUAUUCAAACGAGGGAGACGAGGCUCGUCGGUGCCCGAGAGCUGCGGUGGUCGCCGACGGUGAUUCACGGCGAGGUAGGGGGAUCGGGUGGUACCUCUGUGUUCAGUACGUCCUUCCACGUCGGUGGGUGGUGGUGGUGGUCACCGGCGAGCACCACGUCAACGGCGGACGGUGGUUCGGGUAGUCGUGGACCUCGUCGGAGGGAGCUGCUGGGGUCAAAUUGGAGUGGGGGUUAGUCUCCUAGAGGUGUCAUGAGGCUACGGGCAAGUCUAGGGCGGUGGAGGAGUUCUCACCAGAGAGAACACUGUCGGAGUCCGAAGCGGACAGAGGUGGCCGGAGUUGAGGAAGAAGGGCCCCUCGAGGCUCUUCCAGUGGCUAGGCGGGGUCUGGUGAGGUGGUGGAGAUGUGCGGGGUUGAGAGCGAGCUCAGAGGCGCUAUUUAUAGCCGGCCUGAGGCGGUUGCCGUGAACGGGAUAAGUCCGGCGAGUGAUUACGGUGACGCUGUGGCUGGACGGUUGGUUUAGGUGCUUGAGCAUCGUCUAGACGAAGCACUGAUUCCAUCCCAGUGCCUAACUCAGCGAGGCAGGGGCAGUUACGGCCUAUCCCCGACGGAACGGCCUUACGGCACGUCGGCGACAGAGAGCGCACCCUGAGCGUGCGAGGCCACGGCGAUGGUGCUGCAGGCGUGCGCUGGCAAGGGAGACGGCCACGCGGAGCUCCCAGGUGGCUUGGGCGGUGCCGAACGACAUUAUGCCGCAGGAUGCCCCCUGUCGGCCGCCACGGGAGGUUCUGCCGCCGCUGAAGACGCCGGCGCAGGCGGGCCAGGGUGCCAUCGAUGCCAGGAACGAGCCAAGUUCGCGUGCAGUGCUCCGGACAGGGAGGAGGAGCCAUGCGCAAUGCGCCAGGUGCACAGUUGACAUGUGACUGAACACUGACGAAGAAACGACACUGAAACUCUGAAUUUUCUGAAGGUGCAUAGUAACAGUGCAGGCCAGGUGUUCGACAGAAUGAUUUUGGUAUGAGGGGAUUUUUCCUUGAGCUAGUUUUUGGUGGAGUGGUCUCUCAUUGCAACUGGGGUUUGCCUGAAUUUUGGUGGAAUUUUUGGAGAAGUGGAGAUAUGAAUUUCACCAAAUUUGACAAAUCUGGUCCAAACUUGCAGAGGGUGAAUUUUGAAAAUUUUGAAAAGAAGAAGAGUGGAUCUUGAUGGUUCUAGGUUGUGGGUGCUAGGGACUAUCCAGAGGAGUUGAUUUGAGACCAAAGUUCAAAGGCAUUAAGGUACUUGCUUUGCAAAUUACCUAGGCUCAAAAUAAAGGACAUAAUUGUUUUGGGGAAAGAAAUAAAUGAGAUAAAAUCCAAAAAUGGAUUUAACUAGUUGGGACAGAAUGCUUGGGUUGUCCCAAAGUGGAAGGAGGGGGUUUUGGGAGAAUUUUACCACAAGAGGCAUGGUAAAAACAAGAAUGGGUCAAAACCAAAGAAUAGCCCAAAACCAAAAAGUUUUUCUUUUUUAGAAGAAACUAAAUCCAAGAAAAGCUUUUUGAGGAGGAAAACUCAGAAGAGAGGUUUUUAAGAAGGGUUUAAAUGACCUUCUUCAAACCAAGCAAGGCUCUUGCUGAAAACAAAAACAACAAAAUUUUUGGAGUGUCACAGCACCUACCCCCUUAGGAAAAAUCUCAUCCCCGAGAUUUCAGCUGAUCCUUAAACAGGUGUGGGUGCUCUGUCCGAAGAAAAUCCUUUCUCUCCCAAGUUGCUUCACUCUCGGUGUGAUUGCUCCACUGAACUCUGAAAAACUUGAUGGUUUUUUGUCGGGUCCUUCUCUCAGACUCCUCUAAUAUUUUUAUUGGGCGCUCCCGGUAGGUGAGGUCUGGUUGCACGUCAAUAUUUUCAUGUGAUACUUGCUUCUCUGGGUUGCUCACGUACUUUCUCAACUGCGAGAUGUGGAACACGUUGUGGAUAUCGGAUAAAUCUCCGGGUAGGUCUAGCUGGUAGGCUACCAUGCCUCUUCGGGCCACUAUACAGAAUGGUCCAAUGAAUCUUGGUGCUAGCUUUCCCUUAACCCUGAAUCGUUGCAGACCCCUCAUAGGAGAAACUCUUAGGUAUACAAACUCUCCGGGUUCAAAACUGAUUUCCCGAUGCUUUCGAUCGUAAUAACUCUUUUGCCGACUUUGAGCUGUCUUGAGUCGAUCUCUAAUCGUCUUAACUUUCUCCUCAGCCUCCUUGAGCAUAUCUGGGCCGAAGAUGUGGCUGUCCCCGGUUUCUGACCAGUUUAGCGGGGUACGACAUCUUCUCCCAUAUAGAGCUUCAAAUGGUGCCAUUUGCAGGCUGGCUUGAUAACUGUUGUUGUAUGCGAACUCUACAUAUGGCAAGCUUUCUUUCCAACUGGUUCCGUAGGUGAGGACACACGCUCUCAGCAUGUCUUCUAGAAUUUGGUUUACGUGUUUAGUUUGCCCAUCAGUCUGGGGGUGGUAUGCGGUACUGAAUGCUAGUUGGGUUCCCAGUGCCUGUUGUAGGUGAUUCGAAAAUCUAGAGACGAACUGUGUGCCUCUGUCAGAUAUGAUAGUCUUUGGGACUCCAUGCAGGCAGACGAUACGGGCAAGAUGAAGUCUGGCCAGCCUCUGAGUGGUGUGAGUUGUCUUCACCGGGAUAAAAUGUGCUACCUUAGUUAAUCUGUCGGUGAUGACCCAUAUGGCAUUAUUUCCGUGUCGUGACCGUGGUAGUCCAACAAUGAAAUCCAUUCCAAUCUCGUCCCACUUCCACUCGGGUAUCUUGUUUGGCUGUAACAGCCCGGCUGGUUUCUGGUGCUCGGCCUUGAUGCGUUGACAAGAGUCACAACAUGCAAUGAACGUGGCUAUGUCUCUCUUCAUACCGUGCCACCAAAAUCUUUCCUGAAGGUCUUUGUACAUUUUUGUCCCUCCAGGAUGGAUUGAAUACGGAGCGGUGUGGCUUUCAGCCAGAAUUUGCUGUUUGAGGUCCUUGAUAUUUGGUACGCAAAUUCUCUCUCCGUACCACAAUAUUCCUUGCUCAUCUACGUUGAAUUCUGAGGCCUUGCCCAAACUCACUUUCCUUUUUAUGCCAUCAAUGCUAGGGUGUCCAUGCUGAGCCUCCUUAAUCUUUUCCAUCAGGGUAGGCUGUAUUUCCAAAUUCGACACACUGCCUUCGGUGACCAUUAUCAAAUUGAGUUUGGCAAAUUCCUGUUGAAAUUCUGGCCUCAAAUUUGGUAUACUAUCGUUGUCCGAGCUGGGAUUCCGACUAAGGGCAUCUGCCACAACAUUUGCUUUUCCGGGAUGAUAGUGAAUUCCAACAUCAUAAUCCUUCACUAACUCCAACUAGCGUCGUUGCCGUAAAUUAAGUUCCGGCUGUGUGAAAAUAUACUUAAGGCUCUUAUCGUCUGUGUAUAUUUCACAACGAUUUCCAAGUAGAAAGUGUCUCCAUUCUUUGAGUGCAUGGAUGACCGCUGCCAAUUCCAAGUCAUGAGUGGGAUAAUUUUCCUCAUGCUUGCGAAGUUGUCUGGAGACAUACGCAACUACCUUGCCUUCUUGCAUCAAUACGCAUCCAAGGCCUUUCCGGGAUGCAUCACAAUAUACCUCAAAAUUCUUGUGUAUGUCUGGCACAAUUAAUACGGGUGCCGUUGUUAAUUUCCUUUUUAGCUCUUGGAAGCUUUUCUCACAGGAUUCCGUCCAUUCAAACUUCUUGUCUUUCUUGAGUAACUGCGUCAUUGGCUUUGCUAUGGUGGAGAAUCCUUCAAUAAAUCUCCGGUAAUAACCUGCCAUUCCCAAGAAACUCCGUACGUCCGUUACGCUAGCUGGUGGUUUCCAGCCAAGUACGGCCUUGAACUUUUUUCGGGUCUACUGCAAUACCUUCUUGGGUUAGCACGUGGCCCAGAAAACCCACCCGUCUUAGCCAAAAUUCACAUUUGCUAAAUUUGGCGUACAGUUGAUGUUUCCUGAGUUCUCCUAGUACAAUCCUGAGAUGCUCGGCGUGCUCUUCUGGUGUUUUGGAGUAUAUCAGAAUAUCAUCGAUGAAUACCACAACAAACUUGUCCAUAUACUUCAUAAAUACUUUGUUCAUGAGGUGAACAAAAUAUGCGGGGGCGUUUGUUAGCCCAAAUGGCAUUAUAGUGAACUCAUACAAUCCAUAUCUGGAGGUGAAGGCUGUCUUGGGAAUAUCUUUUGUCCGCACUUUCAAUUGGUGGUAUCCCGAUCUCAAGUCAAUUUUUGAGAAGACUUUGGCCUGUGCGAGCUGAUCAAAUGAAUCAUUUAUUCGGGGCAUUGGGUAUUUGUUCUUGAUUGUGACCAUGUUAAGAGCUCAAUAGUCUAUACACAAUCUCAGUGUUCCAUCCUUUUUCUUGGCAAAUAAAAUUGGAGAACCCCAAGGUGAGGAACUGGCUCGUAUGUAUCCUUUCUCCAAUAAUUCUUUUAUUUGCUUCUUCAAUUCUACUAAUUUGGAUGGUGCCAUUCUGUAUGGUUUCUUGUAAAUGGGAGCGGUUCUGGGUGCUAGCUCAACGCUGAAUUCUAUCUCGCGGUCCGGUGGCAUGCCUGGUAGUUCUUCUGGAAAUACGUCUGGAAAUUCACACACUACUGGAACCUUGUUCAGCUCAGAAACGUCCACCUUGUUUAAUCUCGGUUGCCGAGGUAUUUGUAUCUCUUUGGCUGAAACUUUUAUUGUCUUCCCGUGAUGGUGUGUGAGAAUUACGGUCCGGUUGAAGUAGUCAAUAAAACCUUUGUUGGUAGUUAACCAAUCCAUCCCUAGGAUGACAUCCAGUCCUUUACUUUCCAAUACAAUAAGGUUGGCGUAAAACUUCAAUCCUUCAAAUUCAAUAACCACACCUUGAUAGUAACUCUGGGUCACUUGCUUAAUUCCAUGGGACUUGAUGAUCAUGGAUUUUUCCAAGGGAAGCAUUGAAAAUUAUUUUGCAAAGCAAAACUCUUCGAAAUGAAUGAGUGAGAAGCUCCAGAAUCAAACAAAACCAUGGCAGGUAUUGUGUUGACAGGGUACGUACCGAGUACGAUAUCUGGGGCGUUCUGUGCUUCCUCUUUGGUCACGUGGUUCAGAUGACCCUUCCUGUGGUUGUUAUUGGGGUUGAAAUCGUUUCGCUUGGGCGCUGAAUUAUUGCCACCAUUGUUAGGCUUUGGGGUUGAGUUCCUUGGCUUGGGGCACUGCUUGGCAUAGUGCCCUUCUUCUCCACAAGCGUAACAAGUAACGCCUGGGAGAUAUGUGAACUCCUUGUCUCUUGCAUGGAAAUUCUUGAUUGGGCGUGAAUUAUUCGUCGGGGUUUUGUGUGUUCCACCCUUCUGAAAUUCCGUCUUGCUUCUGUGGUUGCGAGCAAAAGUAGACUGGUCCCUUUUGCGUUUGCGGAAAUCUUCCAAGCUGCGUCGCUCAUUUUCCAGAGUAAUGGCCUUAUCCAACAGUGUUUUAAAAUCUGGGAAGGUAUGCACAACCAGCUGGCAUUUAAGUGCGGGUGCCAGGCCUUCCAAGAAUUUUUCCAUCUUCUUGCUCUCGGUCAUGCGCUCUUCGUUGGCAUAGCGAGACAGCAGAGUGAAUUGGCUGUUGUAUUCUAACACUGUCAUGGUCCUUUGCUUGAGGUCAUCAAAUUCUCUCUUCUUGAUUUUCAUAACACUCUUAGGAAUGUGUGCCCCACGAAAACCUUCCUUGAAAUCCUCCCAGGUUAUUUCAUUUUCGUUGGGGUGCAUGUGCAGGAAAUUUUCCCACCACGAUGCAGCUGCUCCAGUGAGAUAAUAUGGUGCAUACAAUACUUUUUCAUGGUUUGAACACUGUGCAAUAAUUAAUUUUCUUUCCAUGUCUCAAAGCCAGCCAUCGGCCUCAAGAGGCUUGUCAAUAUGAGAAAAUGUUGGGGGACGCGUCUUCUGUAACUCAGACAACUUGGAUUGCUGCUGAUACUGACCACAGUGAUUUCUCAUAUUGAUGAAUUGGUUCAUCAUUUCCUGGUGUUGUUGCUGACUCUGUUCAUACAGACGACACACUUGGGUAAAUGUUGUUUCACUGUCCUGUUGACUUGUCUGUCCCUGAGUGAAAUUGUGGUUUGGUGGUGUGCCAUAAUUUUCUUCGGGCUGAUUUGGCAUGGAGCGCGUCCAAGGACGAGACAUCUUUCACUCUGGGGAUAUAUUUUGUGAAACUCGUAAGACAAGAAAGAGAGUCGCAAAAGUCAAUAAAAUCACACACAAUUUUUUUUAAAACUCCAGGAUUUUUUUGAAAAUACACGAUUGCGCGCGGAGAAGGACUAUUACAUAUCUUACACGCAAGCAUAAUUAUACAUUACAUCACUCAGGAUAUGCGUACAUAAUCCUGACAUGUUAUUGAGACUAGUGCACUUCUCCAGAUCCUACAUGAUGCGCAAAUAAGCUACUUCUCACAACCUAUGUACAUAUAAACACAUCACACAAGUCGGUACAUCGCAUGGCGUCUAAACGUACUCAGUCGGAGAUGGAGAGGAUCUCCCUUGGCCUGCCGAGGGUGAGACGCAGUGAGGCUGGGGACUCAACCUCCUCCUCGCUAAUAGGUUCCAGAUGAGAAGUGCUGCGCUGAGCUGAUGGAGCAGGUGCCAUAGUCGGAGUAACACGAAUAUGAGUGGGCGGAAUAGGUGGAGUAGCACGUAUGGGAGUGGGUGCAAUAAGUGGUGCAGAGCAAACAGGAGUGGGUGCAAUAGCUUGGUUGAAUUCCUCAGUGGUAGGCAGACGACGAGCAAUGGCGAGAAUGGUAGGUGAAUGAGAAGCUGAGGACGAGAUGAAAGUCAGCGGUGGAGCGGUGUGCAGGAGUUCCCUUCUGUUGGCGGCACAGCCAUGGACUGAGUCCACGCGGGCAGCUACGAGGUCGUCCGCCAUGCUGUCGAAGGCUGCCUCCAGGGCUCGGAGGUACUCGACAAGCAUCUCAAAGGCCUCGUCUCGCUCUCCUCUGGGGCAAGAGAAUGAGUAGUGACAUGUGUAUGGCACGUGGCAUGGAAGGUAGCGGUAGCGACGGGUCUUCAUUGCAGGAAGGACAUCCCGAAGACGAGCUAUCGCCUCGCGGGCAGCCAUCUGCAUAGCAUGCCUCUCUGUAGGCAUGGCUCUCCCCAAGAAUCGGAAGCGGCGUAUCUCAGCACGCCCUCCCUUGAAUUGCACCGCGGCCUGGUGCAUGGUCAGACUAUCGUUGAUCUUGUGUGGGUAAAGUGUGAAGACUGGGCGUACGGAUGGCCCCAUCGCGACCUGAAUGACGAAGGAGAGGAGUUUGACGAACCCCUCAGGCACGUUGGCGAAUAUCUGUGACUCACAGUCGUUGCCAGCCAUCUACAAAAGUAGGCAAAAUUCCUGAGCGAUCAGAUCAUAAAUUUUAUGCUGACUGUCAGAAAAAUGACUACAUUUGCAAAAACAUGAAUAAACUCUAUCAUGCUAAUAACCGAUUAGCGAUUGCACCUAGUGGCUUCCUACAGUCAGCCUGGCUCUAGUACCAAGUCUGUCACGACCGGUUUUUCAAUAAAAUACUUAUUGAGAAAAUCGAACUUUUGAUCCCAGUAUAGGAAAAGUUAUCCUCACUGGUAGACAAAUACUUGAUAUACAGAGGACCAAUAGUAUUAAAUAUAUUAUAGGGUUGAGCUGAGGCUGCUCAACAAUUUAUUACAAACACGCCAAUAUCAUACAUAAGGGCGGUUGCGACACAGGGGUGUGGGGACAUGCUACUAGCUCGAGAUAAAAGUGGUGGUGGAUAACUUGACUCCUAACUGGCAGCUCAUCAAGCGUCGAGGUGAGGCUCGAUGAAUUUAUUUCUGGGGUGGCGGAAGCGGAUAUAACACAAUGACCAAAAGCAGGAUCGCACGGGACUGACUGGGACUCCUCUAGGCGUCCGACUCGCUAUCGAACUCUUCAUCCAUGAGAUCGCCUUCAUCAACAUCUGGCCAAAUCAACAAGCUAGGUGAGUACUUUGAAAGUACUCGCAAGACAGUUCGGACAAAAGAUAUAACAAAUGCAUGCAUGAAUGCGUCAUGAGCAAAAAGAUAAUAAUGCUCAUCUCAAUAAUAAAAUUUUGCACGACUUGAUAAGUAAAACAAAUAACUGAAAAAACCGAUCGGGUAUUUGGAGUGACACCUCGAAAGGUAAACAAAUAAAGCUCAUGCCGCAGUCGGGCGUCUAAGCGACACCACAUAAAGGGCUUAUAAAAGAAAUGCCACAGUCAGACGUCUGAGCGACAUCGCAGAAAGGGCUUAUCUCGAUAAUAAAUAACAAGUGUGCCACAGUCGGACGUCUAAGUGACACCACAUAAAGGGCUUAUAAAAAGGAUGCCUUAGUAGGGCGUCUCAGCGACACCGCAUAAAGGGCUUAUAAAAGAAAGGCCACAGUCGGGCGUCUCAGCGACACCACAUAAAGGGCUUAUAAAAGAAAUGCCACAGUCGGACGUCUGAGCGACAUUGCAGAAAGGGCUUAUCUCGAUAAUAAAUAACAAGUGUGCCACAGUCGAACGUCUAAGCGACAUCACGGAAAGGGCUUAUAUCAAAUGUAAAUAACGGGUUAGUCCAUCCACAAGAAUAAACUUUUAACCGGAUUUAACACUCAUGUAGUUCACCGGAGUUGUUCACUAAAGCUGAUAUCUGACAAGAUAAGAUGAACACAGUACUUGGACAUGUACAAGAUGAUUUAAAGGAUUUGUGACUCUGCAGAGUUUGAAUUAACUGUCCACAACCAACGGAUUUCCGUAGUCACGAAGGACUAGUUCCGUUUACGGUAUUUCUGUAGAAACACAUUUAACUAGUACACACCCAUUCCACCUCACGAUGUCAGGAAUCACCCUAGACAACGUCCAAGAAAAACUUUGAGACGGGGAGGUCACAACCUUGAAUAGCAUGGGAUCAAAUUUCUAUACGCGCGCUUUAAGGGGUGUCCCCCUCUCGGUCCCAUCCGGAAACACCCAUGCCCCUUGACUGGAUGACGGGCUUUAAUCCAGGGCCAUGGAACCCUCAUCCCGGCCUCUCUAUUUGGUGUGUACCAGGAAAAACGGUUUGCAACUUACUAAGCCAUAUUCCUUGCAGAAAACAUGUGGCAGUACAGGAAAGGAAAUGAAUGGGAAUGUGAUUUGAUUCACGAUGACACUGAAGUCAAAUAGACUGGCAUAAGACUGUCAUGCCACAACACUGCCAUCUUACCCAUCCUCAUGCCAUCACAUGGCCAUGCAAAUAUGUAUCCAACAACAUAUGGAUUUCCGAAACUCACUUUCCACUUCUUUUGCAUGAAAAAUAACAUUCAAAGAAAUGUUCAUAAACAUGCCAUGAAACUCCUAAAUGCAAACAUGCAUCAAACACUCAUCAUAUCAAGAGUUCAAACAUGCUUGCCUGGUUCGGAGUAGUCGGAGUCUAACUGGGUGAAGUUCGCGGCUCCGUCACCUCCUCCGGUAUCUACGGUAUAAGAAAAAUACGUAUGUAACGUAAAUACGGCGAGGUGCACAAAAGUAUUCCAAAUAAUUCUCAAAUAAAACUGAUAAAAAACUAGAUAAAAUUUUAAAGGGGACAGAAAAAGACUCAAACAAAAAUCCUUUUCUGUUUAAAAGAUAUAAGGGUUUUGAUUCAGGGACCUUUCUGUAAUGAAACAGAAAACUCUGAGGGGGUUCUGCAGAAAAGUCCAGAAAAAGAUUCAAAACUGGAAAGCGCAUUUUGCCAGAAUACACUUUCAGAAAACGGUUCGAUUAAUAAGAAUGAGAGACUGACAGGCGGGUCCCACCCGUCAGGUUUGAAUAUUCAAACGAGGGAGACGGGGCUCGUCGGCGCCCGAGAGCUGCGGUGGUCGCCGACGGUGAUUCACGGCGAGGCAGGGGGAUCGGGUGGUACCUCCAUGUUCAGUACGUCCUUCCGCGUCAGUGGGUGGUGGUGGUGGUCGCCGGCGAGCACCACGUCGAUGGCGGCCCUUGCUCCGGCGGACGGUGGUUCGGGUAGUCGUGGACCUCGUUGGAGGGAGAUGUUGGGGUCAAAUUGGAGUGGGGGUUAGUCUCCUAGAGGUGUCAUGAGGCUAUGGCAAGUCUAGGGCGGUGGAGGAGUUCUCUCCAGAGAGAACGCUGCCGGAGUCCGAAGCGGACGGAGGUGGCCGGAGUUGAGGAAGAAGGGCCCCUCGAGGCUCUUCCAGUGGUUAGGCGGGGUCUGGUGAGGUGGUGGAGAUGUGCGGGGUCGAGAGCGAGCUCGGAGGCGCUAUUUAUAGCCGGCCCGAGGCGCUUGCCGUGAACGCGAUAAGUCCGGCGAGCGAUUACGGCGGCGCUGUGGCUGGAUGGUUGGUUUAGGGGCUUGAGCAUCAUCUAGACGGAGCACUGAUUCCAUCCCAGUGCCUAACUCAGCGAGGCAGGGGCGGUUACGGCCUGUCCCCGACGGAACGGCCGUACAUCACGUCGGCGGCAGAGAGCGCGCCCUGAGCGUGCCAGGCCACGGCGAGGAUGCUGCAGGCGUGCGCUCGCAAGGGAGACGGCCACACGGAGCUCCCAGGUGGCUUGGGUGGUGCCGAACGGCGUUAUGCCGCAGGAUGCCCCCUGUCGGCCGCCACGGGAGGUUCUACCGCCGCGAAAGAUGCCGGCGCAGGCGGGCCAGGGUGCCACCGAUGCCAGGAACGAGCCAAGUGCGCGUGCGGUGCUCCGGACAGGGAGGAGGAGCCGUGCGCAAUGCGCCAGGCGCACAGUUGACAUGUGACUGAACAUUGACGAAGAAACGACACCGAAACUCUGAAUUUUCUGAAGGUGCAUAGUAACAGUGCAGGCCAGGUGUUCGACAGAAUGAUUUUGGUAUGAGGGGAUUUUUCCUUGAGCUGGUUUUUGGUGGAGUGGUCUCUCAUUGCAACUGGGGUUUGUCUGAAUUUUGGUGGAAUUUUUGGAGAAGUGGAGAUAUGGAUUUCACCAAAUUUGACAAAUCUGGUCCAAACUUGCAGAGGGUGAAUUUUGAAAAUUUUGAAAAGAAGAAGAGUGGAUCUUGAUGGUUCUAGGUUGUGGGUGCUAGGGACUAUCCAGAGGAGUUGAUUUGGGACCAAAGUUCAAAGGCAUUAAGGUACUUGCUUUGCAAAUUACCUAGGCUCAAAAUAAAGGACAUAAUUGUUUUGGGGAAAGAAAUAAAUGAGAUAAAAUCCAAAAAUGGAUUUAACUAGUUGGGACAGAAUGCUUGGGUUGUCCCAAAGUGGAAGGAGGGGUUUUUGGGAGAAUUUUACCACAAGAGGCAUGGUAAAAACAAGAAUGGGUCAAAACCAAAGAAUAGCCCAAAACCAAAAAGGUUUUCUUUUUUAGAAGAAACUAAAUCCAAGAAAAGCUUUUUGAGGAGGAAAACUCAGAAGAGAGGUUUUUAAGAAGGGUUUAAAUGACCUUCUUCAAACCAAGCAAGGCUCUUGCUGAAAACAAAAACAACAAAAUUUUUGGAGUGUCACAACCGGUGCUUGGGUACUGCCCUUACUUGGAUAAGCAUCCCACUUAUGAUUAACCCCUAUUGCAAGCGUCCGCAACUACAAAAGAAGUAUUAAGGUAAACCUAACCACAACAUUAAACAUAUGGAUCCAAAUCAGCCCCUAACGAAGCAACGCAUAAACUAGGGUUUAAGCUUCUGUCACUCUAGCAACCCAUCAUCUACUUAUUACUUCCCAAUGCCUUCCUCUAGGCCCAAAUAAUGAUGAAGUGUCAUGUAGUCGACGUUCACAUAACACCACUAGAGGAAAAGAGAACAUACAUCUCAUCAAAAUAUCGAACGAAUACCAAAUUCACAUGACUACUAAUAGCAAGACUUCACUCAUGUCCUCAGGAACAAACAUAACUACUCACAAAGCAUAUUCAUGUUCAUAAUCAGAGGAGUAAUAAUAUGCAUAAAGGAUCUGAACAUAUGAUCUUCCACCAAGUAAACCAAUUAGCAUCAACUACAAGGAGUAAUCAACACUACUAGCAACCCACAUGUACCAAUUUGUGGUUUUGAUACAAGAUUGGAUACAAGAGAUGAACUAGAGUUUUGAGAGGAGAUGGUGAUGGUGAAGAUGUUGAUGUUGAUCGACCCCCUCCCGAUGAGAGGAUCAUUGGUGAUGAUGAUGGUGAUGAUUUCCCCCUCCCGGAGGGAAGUUUCCCCGACAGAACAGCUCUGCUGGAGCUCUAGAUUGGUUCCGCCAAGGUUCCGCCUCGUGGCGGCGGAGUUUCGUCCCGUAAGCUUGUCCAUGAUUUUUUCCAGGGUGAAAGCCCUCAUAUAGCAGAAUAUGGGCACCGGGGGGGCAUGAGGGGGCCCAGGAGACAGGGGGCGCGCCCAGCAGGGAUUGAUACGUCUCCAACGUAUCUAUAAUUUAUGAAGUAUUGAUGCUUUUAUAUUAUCCAUCUAUGAUGUUUUAUAUGAAUUUAUAUUUCAUUUUAUAUGAUUUUUGGGACUAACCUAUUAACCUAGAGCCCAGUGCCAGUUUCUUUUUCUCCUUGUUUUUGUGUUUUACAGAAAAGGGAUACCAAACGGAGUUCAAUUGACGUGCCAAUUUUUGAGGAUUUUUUAUGGACCAAAAGAAGACCACGGAGCAUCGGAGUUGGGCCAGAAGAGUCCCGGGCUGCCCACGAGAGUGGGGGGUGCCCCCCCUAGGGCACGCCCCCUAUCUUUUGGAUAGCCCGGGGACCCCCCCUGACGUGAAACCAACGCCAAAAAUUCCUAUAAAUACAGAAACCUUCGGGAAUUAACCUAGAUGAGAACUUCGACCGCCGCAAGCCACUGUAGCCACGAGAAAUCAAUAUAGGCCCUCUCCGGCACCCUGCCGGAGGGGGUCAUCAUCACCGAAGGCCAUGGAGGAGGAUCUUGGAGGGGCCCUCAUCGCCAUGAAGGCCAAGGACUAGAGGGGGAAAGCCAUGGAGGAGGAAGCACAAGGGGGAGAACCUCUCCUCCUCUCUCUUGGUGGCACCGGAGUGCCAUCGGGAGGGGAAUCAUCGCCGCGGUGAUCGUCUUCAUCAACAUCACCAUCAUCAUCACCAUCCUCAUCUCUUUUACACGGUCUACUCUCCCAAACCCCGCUGUAAUCCCUACUUGAACAUGGUGCUUUAUGCCACAUAUUAUGAUCCAAUGAUGUGUUGCCACCUUAUGAUGUUUUGAGUAGAUAUCUUUUGUCCUUGGGUUGAUUGAUGAUCUAGAUUGGUACGAGUUGUAUUUUUUAUUUUGGUGCUGUCCUAUGGUGCCCUCUGUGUCGCGCAAGCGUGAGGGACUCCCGCUGUAGGGUGUUGCAAUACGUUCAUGACUCGCUUAUAGUGGGUUGCGUGAGUGACUGAAACACAAACCCGAGUAAGGGGGUUGUUGCAUAUGGGAUAAAAGGGGACUUGAUGCUUUAAUGCUAUGGUUGGGUUUUACCUUAAUGAUCUUUAGUAGUUGCGGACGCUUGCUAGAGUUCCAAUCAUAAGUGCAUAUGAUCCAAGUAGAGAAAGUAUGUUAGCUUAUGCCUCGCCCUCAUAUGAAAUUGCAAUGACGACUAUCGAUCUUGUUAACAAUUGCUUAGGACAAUUGAGCACACCGAUCCACCAUUAUUCCACACUCGCUAUUUAUAAUAUUUAGUAUUACAUUCUAACUUUAUGAUAACAACACCUACUUUUAUAUUUUAGCUCUCCGAUAUCAUACAAAGUUAUCCUCUUCAUACCCACAACGUAGUUUUAUUUCUCGUUUCUAGUUGGAAGCAAACGUUCGGUGUACGUAGAGUCGUAUCAGUGGCAGAUAGGGCUUGAGAGAAUAUUGAUCUUACCUUUAGCUCCUUGUGGGUUCGACACUCCAUACUUAUCACUUCCACCUUUGGAAAUUGCACUACAAAAAAAAGACACAUCCGUGACAUUUUGGGCCGAAUGAUUUUUUUUUCUGGCAUACGUAUGACACUUCUAUGACGAUAAUUGUGACAAAACCCGGUAUCAUCAUAGAUGUGGUGGGCUCCUACUUCUAUGACAAAAAAUCAUGAUAGAAAAUGGGCUUUUCGUCCUGGGCGGGCCGGAGACGCAGCUGCAUGACAUUCUUUGGACCGUCCAUGACGGAAAACACUGUGGUAGAAGCGAGGGGGAGGGAAAUUUCAGGGAGUUGCCGGUUACGGUCGGAGGUCGGGGGCCGAGCGAUGUGCGUUUCUCUCAUACACGUACGCGCGUGUGUGCGAGGCGUUGGCUCUAACUGAACCCGAGCGAGGCGUUGGGCUCUAACUGAACCCGAGCGAUUGCACUGCAGGCUAUGCGUUACUGAACCCGAGCGAUCGAUCGAUGGCUGUUAACUGAACCCGAUGGAGUGAUUCCUUCGCUACUGCUGCUNNNNNNNNNNNNNNNNNNNNNNNNNNNNNNNNNNNNNNNNNNNNNNNNNNNNNNNNNNNNNNNNNNNNNNNNNNNNNNNNNNNNNNNNNNNNNNNNNNNNNNNNNNNNNNNNNNNNNNNNNNNNNNNNNNNNNNNNNNNNNNNNNNNNNNNNNNNNNNNNNNNNNNNNNNNNNNNNNNNNNNNNNNNNNNNNNNNNNNNNNNNNNNNNNNNNNNNNNNNNNNNNNNNNNNNNNNNNNNNNNNNNNNNNNNNNNNNNNNNNNNNNNNNNNNNNNNNNNNNNNNNNNNNNNNNNNNNNNNNNNNNNNNNNNNNNNNNNNNNNNNNNNNNNNNNNNNNNNNNNNNNNNNNNNNNNNNNNNNNNNNNNNNNNNNNNNNNNNNNNNNNNNNNNNNNNNNNNNNNNNNNNNNNAACACAAGUCCGUUUCGUCUGUUUUGCGGUACGCCACACCCCUCCCGAUCAACAGGACCCCCGUUUCGAUCGUAGGAGGUCCGUUUCCUCCGUUUUGCGGUACGCCACACCCAUCCCGAUCAGCAGGACCCCGUUUCGACCGUAGGAGGUCCAUUUCCUCCAUUUUGCGGUACGCCACACCCCUCUCGAUCAACAGGACCCCGUUCCGAAUGUAGGAGGUAUGUUUCAUCCGUUGUGCGGUACGCCAGGCCUCGUUUCCAUCGCAUGUUCCGUCCAAGCCCUCCCAAUGAACACGACCACGCAUUCCGUUCCGACCCAGCCGGUUGGCUCCCCAUGAACACGAUGACGACGCUCUUUCUCCGUUCCGACCCAGCCAUGUACGUAUGCGCGAGUAGGCGUUCGAGACCCUGCCCGUAUGUACGUACGUGUCCGUAUUUUCUUUCUUACACCCUCGCCGCUGUACAUACAUGUACAUGUGAUGUCUACUACACAACCUUCUUCUUGUAUACAUUGUUGGGCCUGCAAGUGCACAGGUUUGUAGGACAGUAGCAAAUUUCCCUCAAGUGGAUGACCUAAGGUUUAUCAAUCCGUAGGAGGCGUAGGAUGAAGAUGGUCUCUCUCAAGCAACCCUGCAACCAAAUAACAAAGAGUCUCUUGUGUCCCCAACACACCCAAUACAAUGGUAAAUUGUAUAGGUGCACUAGUUCGGCGAAGAGAUGGUGAUACAAGUGCAAAAUAGAUAGUAGAUAUAGGUAUUUGUAAUCUGAAAAUAUAAAAACAGCAAGGUAACAAGUGGUAAAAGUGAGCGUAAACGGUAUUGAAAUGAUAGGAAACAAGGCCUAGGGUUCAUACUUUCACUAGUGCAAGUUCUCUCAACAAUAACAACAUAGAGAGAUCAUAUAACAUUCCCUCAACAUGCAACAAAGAGUCACUUCGAAGCCACUAAUAGCGGAGAACAAACAUAGAGAUUAUGGUAGGGUACGAAACCACCUCAAAGUUAUUCUUUCGGAUCGAUCUAUAAAAGAGUUCGUACUAGAAUAACACCUUAAGACACAAAUCAACCAAAACCCUAAUGUCACCUAGAUACUCCAUUGUCACCUCAAGUAUCCGUGGGCAUGAUUAUACGAUAUGCAUCACACAAUCUCAGAUUCAUCCAACCAACAUAAAAGUACUUCAAAGAGUGCCCCAAAGUCUCUACCGGAGGGUCAAGAACGUGUGCCAACCCCUAUGCAUAGGUUCCCAAUGUCACGAAACCCGCAAGUUGAUCACCAAAACAUACAUCAAGUGGAUCAAUAGAAUAACCCAUUGUCACCACGGUUAUCCCACGCAAGACAUACAUCAAGUGUUCUCAUAAAAGACUCAAUCCGAUAAGAUAACUUCAGAGGGGAAACUCAAUUCAUCACAAGAGAUUAGAGGGGGAGAAACAUCAUAAGAUCCAACUACAAUAGCAAAGCUCAGGAUACAUCAAGAUCGUGCCAUAGAGGGAACACGAGAGAGAACACGAGAGAGAUAGAUCAAACACAUAGCUACUAGUACAUACCCUCAGCCCCGAGGGUGAACUACUCCCUCCUCGUCAUGGAUACCGUCUGGGAUGAUGAAGAUGGCCACCGGUGAUGGGUUCCCCCUCCGGCUGGGUGCCGGAACGGGCUCGCGAGAGGUUUUUGGUGGCUAUAGAGGCUUGCGGCGGCGGAACUCCCGAUCUAUCUUCUGUUCUGGAAGUUUUAGGGUACGCAGGUAUAUAUGGGUGAAAGGAGUAUGUCGGUGGAGCUACGGGGGCCCCACGAGGCAGGGGCGCGCCCUAGGGGGGUGGGUGCACCCCCACCCUCGUGAGCACCUCCCGUAUCUUCUAACGUGGGGUCCAAGUCCAUCAGGUGGGUUUCCUUCCAAAAAUAAGUUCUCCAGUUGAUUUCGUUCCGUUUUGACUCCGUCUGAUAUUCCUUUUCCUCAAAACACUGAAAUAGGCAUAAAACAACAAAUCUGGGCUGGGCCUCCGGUUAAUAGGUUAGUCCCAAAAAUAAUAUAAAAGUGGAUAAUAAAGCCCAAUAUUGCCUAAAACAGUAGAUAAUAUAUCAUGGAGCAAUCAAAAAUUAUAGAUACGUUGGAGAUGUAUCAGGCAUCCCCAAGCUUAAUUCCUGCUCGUCCUCGAGUAGGUAAAUGAUAAAAAAAGAAUUUUUGAUGCGGAGUGAUACUUUGGCAUAAUUCAAUGUAAAUCUUCUUAAUUGUGAUAUGAAUAUUCAGAUCCGAAAGAUUCAAGACAAAAGUUCAUAUUGACAUAAAAAUAAUAAUAUUUCAAGCAUACUAAUCAAACCAAUCAUGUCUUCUCAAAAUAGCAUGGCUAAAGAAAGUUAUCCCUACAAAAUCAUAUAGUCUGGUUGUUGCUCUAUCUUCAUCACACAAAGUAUUUAAUCAUGCAUAACCCCGAUGACAAGCCAAGCAAUUGUUUCAUACUUUAAUAAUCUCAAACUCUUUCAACUUUCAUGCAAUACAUGAGCGUGAGCCAUGGACAUAGCACUAUAUGUGGAAUAGAAUGGUGGUUGUGGAGAAGUCUCAAACUCUUUCAACUUUCAUGCAAUACAUGAGCGUGAGCCAUGGACAUAGCACUAUAUGUGGAAUAGAAUGGUGGUUGUGGAGAAGACAAAAAAAAGGAGAAGAUAGUCUCACAUCAACUAGGCGUAUCAACGGGCUAUGGAGAUGCCCAUUAAUAGAUAUCAAUGUGAGUGAGUAGGGAUUGCCAUGCAACGGAUGCACUAGAGCUAUAAAUAUAUGAAAGCUCAACAAAAGAAACUAAGUGGGUGUGCAUCCAACUUGCCUGCUCAUGAAGACCUAGGGCACUUUUGAGGAAGCCCAUCAUUGGAAUAUACAAGCCAAGUUCUAUAGUGAAAAAUUCCCACUAGUAUAUGAAAGUGACAACAUAUGAGACUCUCUAUCAUGAAGAUCACGGUGCUACUUUGAAGCACAAGUGUGGUAAAAGGAUAGUAGCAUUGCCCCUUCUCUCUUUUUCUCUCAUUUUUUUCUUUUUUUUCUUUGGGCCUUUUCUCUUUUUAUGGCCUCUUUUUUUCUUUCUUUUUUUAUUUUUUUCGUCCGGUGUCUCAUCCCGACUUAUGGGGGAAUCAUUGUCUCCAUCAUCCUUUCCUCACUGGGACAAUGCUCUAAUAAUGAUGAUCAUCACACUUUUAUUUUUCUUACAACUCAACAAUUACAACUCGAUAUUAGAACAAAAUAUGACUCUAUAUGAAUGCCUCCGGCGGUGUACCGGGAUAUGCAAUGAAUCAAGAGCGACAUGUAUGAAAAUUAUGAAGGUGGCCUUGCCACAAAUACAAUGUCAACUACAUGUUCUUGCAAAAACCAAUAUGACAUAAGUAAUGUGUGUCAUAUGAACGGAACGGUGGAAAGUUGCAUGGCAAUAUAUCUCGGAAUGACUAUGGUAAUGGCAUAAUAGGUAGGUAUGGUGGCUGUUUUGAGGAAGGUAUAUGGUGUGUGUAUGAUACCGGCGAAAAGGUGCGCGGUAUAUGAGAGGCUAGCAAUAAUGGAAGGGUGAAAGGGUGCGUAUAAUCCAUGGAAUCAACAUUAAUCAAAAGAACUCAUGCACUUGUUGCAAAAAUUUAGAAGUCAUCAAAAACCAAAGCACUACGCGCAUGCUCCUAGGGGGAUAGAUUGGUAGGAAAAGACCAUCGCUCGUCCCCGACCGCCACUCAUAAGGAAGACAAUCAAUAAAUAAAAUUGUGCUCCAACUUCAUCACAAAGCGGUUCACCAUACGUGCAUGCUACGGGAAUCACAAACUUCAACACAAGCAUUCUUUAAAUUCAUAAUCACCCAACUAGCAUCACUUUGAUAGUAUCACCUCCAUAUCUCAAAACAAUUAUCAAGCAUCAAACUUAUCUUAGUAUUCAACGCACUCAAAAGAAAGUUUCACAUAUCUUGAAUACCAAGUAUAUUAAUAUUAAGAAAAUUACCAUGCUAUGAACGACUCUCAAAAUAAUCUAAGUGGAGCAUGAGAGAUCAAUAGCUUCUUUAAAACAAAUCUACCACCAUGCUCUAAAAGAUCCAAGUGAAGCACUAGAGCAAAAAUUAUCACGCUCAAAAGAUAUAAGUGAAGCACUAUGAGCAAUAACAAAAACUACUCCAAAAGAUAUAAGUGAAGAUCAAUGAGUAGUCGAAUAAUUAUGAAACUAUGUGAAGACUCUCCCAAUUAAUAAUUUCAGAUCUUGAUACUUUAUUCAAACAGCAAGCAAAGCUAAAGAAAACUACAUUGCAAGGAUAGCACAACUCAUGUGAAGAAGCAAAGACUUAGGCUCAACCGAUACUAACCGAUAGUUGUUGAAGAAGAAAGGUGGGAUGCCUACCGGGGCAUCCCCAAGCUUAGAUGCUUGAGACUUCUUGAAAUAUUAUCUUGGGGUGCCUUGGGCAUCCCCAAGCUUGAACUUUUGUGUCUCCUUAAUUCCUCUCAUAUCAUGGUUUCUCUUCUUAUCAAAAGCUUCAUUCACAACAAACUCAACAAGAACUCGUGAGAUAGGUUAGUAUAAACCAAUACAAGACCUUAUCAUUUUCUACUUUAAAAAAUAAUUAAAAUAAUUAUUCAACAUUGCAUACUAAAUGCAUCUUCAUAUUUAAUAUUCCUAUCAUCAAAUAGAAUCAUUAAACAAGCAAACAUAUGCAAACAAUGCAAACAUAACAGCAAUAUGCCAAAACAGUACAGUCUGUAAAGAAUGCAAGAGUAUCAAUACUUCCCUAACUCCAAAAAUUAUGAAUUAAAAUUCCCACUGUAAUACAUUUAUCAUAGCUCAAUAUGCAAAAAUAUUCAACGUUAUACCAUUCUCCGACUUUUCUAGGGAAUUUUUGCAACAGCGGUAAACUUUCUGUUUUCAAACAGCAACAUGUAUACAAGCAAAAUAAGCAUCAUAGAGGCUAUCCUUGACCUUUUUUAUUGAACCUAAAGAUGCAAAACAUUAUUCUAACUAACAGAAAGAAAAAACUAACAAAAUAAAAUGACGCCCCAAGCAAAACACAUAUCAUGUGGUGAAUAAAAAUAUAGCUCCAAGUAAAGUUACCGAUGAACGAAGACGAAAGAGGGGAUGCCUUCCGGGGCAUCCCCAAGCUUAGGCUCUUGGUUGUCCUUGAAUACUACCUUGGGAUGCCUUGGGCAUCCCCAAGCUUAGUCUCUUGCCACUCCUUAAUUCUAUAGUCCAUCAAAUCUUUACGCAAAACUUGAAAACUCCACAACACAAAACUCAACAGAAAACUCGUAAGCUCCGUUAGUAUAAGAAAAUAAAACAACCACUUAGGUACUAUAAUGAACUCAUUCUAAAUUCAUAUUGGUGUAAUAUAUACUGUAUUCUAACUUCUCUAUGGUUCAUACCCUCUGAUACUACUCAUAGAUUCAUCAAAAUAAGCAAACAACACAUAGAAAACAGAAUCUGUCAAGAACAGAACAGUCUAUAGUAAUAUAUAUCAAACGUAUACUUAUGGAACUCCAAAAAUCCUACGAAAUUAGGAAGUCCUAAGAAAUUUGUGUACCAAUCCAGAGCAAAACGCAUCAGAUCAGCAUCACGUUUCUGUGAAUUAACAAAACUAAUUUACUGGGUGCAAAAGUUUCAGAUUUUCAGCAGGAUCAACACAACUAUCACCGUAAGCUAUCCUAAAGGUCUUACUUGACACUUUAUUGAAACAAAAGCUAUAAAACAUGAUUACUACAGUAGAAUAAUCAUGUGGACACACAAAAACAGUAAGGAUAAAUAUUGGGUUGUCUCCCAACAAGAGCUUUUCUUUAAUGCCUUUCUAGCUAGGCAUGAUGAUAACAAUGAUGCUCACAAAAAAGAUAAGAAUUGAAACAUAACGGGAGCAUCAUGAAGCAUAUGACUAGCACAUUUAAGUCUAACCCACUUCCUAUGCAUAGGGAUUUUGUGAGCAAACAACUUAUGGGAACAAGAAUCAACUUGCAUAGGAAGGUAAAACAAGCAUAACUUCAAGAUUUUAAGCACAUAGAGAGGAAACUUGAUAUUAUUGCAAUUCCUACAAGCAUAUAUUCCUCCCUCAUAAUAAAUUUCAGUAGCAUCAUGAAUGAAUUCAACAAUAUAACCAACACCUAAAGCAUUCUUUUCAUGAUCUAUUUGCAUAGAAAAUUUUCUACUCUCCACAUGAGCAAAAUUCUUCUCAUCAAUAGUAGUUGGAACAAACUCAACAAAAUAACUAUCAUAUGAUUGAAAAUUAAGAUCAAGAUGACAAGUUUCAUGGUUAUCCUUAUUCCUUAAAGCAUACGUGUCAUCACAAUAAUCAUCAUAGAUAGGAGGCAUGCUUUCAUCAUAGUAAAUCUGCUCAUCAAAGCUUGGGGGACAAAAAAUAUCAUCUUCAUCAAACAUAGCUUCCCCAAGCUUGUGGCUUUGUAUAUCAUUAGCAUCAUGGAUAUUCAAGGAAUUCAUACUAACAACAUUGCAAUCAUGCUCAUCAUUCACAUAUUUCAUGCCAAGAAUUCUAUGUAAUUCUUCUUCUAGUACUUGAGCACAAUUUUCCUUUCCAUCAUACUCACGAAAGAUAUUAAAAAGAUGAAGCGUAUGAGACAAACUCAAUUCCAUUUUUUUGUAGUUUUAUUUUAUAAACUAGACUAGUGAUAAAACAAGAAACAAAAAGAUUCGAUUGCAAGAUCUAAAGAUAUACCUUCAAGCGCUAACCUCCCCGGCAACGGCGCCAGAAAAGAGCUUGAUGUCUACUACACAACCUUCUUCUUGUAGACGUUGUUGGGAUGCAACUACACAGGUUUGUAGGACAGUAGCAAAUUUCCCUCAAGUGGGUGACCUAAGGUUUAUCAAUCCGUAGGAGGCAUAGGAUGAAGAUGGUCUCUCUCAAGCAAGCCUGCAACCAAAUAACAAAGAGUCUCUUGUGUCCCCAACACACCCAAUACAAUGGUAAAUUGUAUAGGUUCACUAGUUCGGCGAAGAGAUGGUGAUACAAUUGCAAAAUAGAUAGUAGAUAUAGGUAUUUGUAAUCUGAAAAUAUAAAAACAGCAAGGUAACAAGUGGUAAAAGUGAGCAUAAACGGUAUUGAAAUGAUAGGAAACAAGGCCUAGGGUUCAUACUUUCACUAGUGCAAGUUCUCUCAACAAUAAUAACAUAGAUAGAUCAUAUAACAAUCCCUCAACAUGCAACAAAGAGUCACUCUGAAGCCACUAAUAGCGGAGAACAAACGUAGAGAUUAUGGAAGGGUACGAAACCACCUCAAAGUUAUUCUUUCAGAUCGAUCUAUAAAACAGUUUGUACUAGAAUAACACCUUAAGACACAAAUCAACCAAAACCCUAAUGUCACCUAGAUACUCCAUUGUCACCUCAAGUAUCCGUGGGCAUGAUUAUACGAUAUGCAUCACACAAUCUCAGAUUCAUCCAACCAACAUAAAAGUACUUCAAAGAGUGCCCCAAAGUCUCCACCGGAGAGUCAAGAACGUGUGCCAACUCCUAUGCAUAGGUUCCCAAUGUCACGAAACUCGCAAGUUGAUCACCAAAACAUACAUCAAGUGGAUCAAUAGAAUAACCCAUUGUCACCACGGUUAUCCCACGCAAGACAUACAUCAAGUGUUCUCAUAAAAGACUCAAUCCGAUAAGAUAACUUCAAAGGGGAAACUCAAUUCAUCACAAAAGAUUAGAGAGGGAGAAACAUCAUAAGAUCCAACUACAAUAGCAAAGCUCAGGAUACAUCAAGAUCGUGCCAUAGAGGGAAAACGAGAGAGAACACGAGAGAGAGAGAGAUCAAACACAUAGCUACUGGUACAUACCCUUGGCCCCGAGGGUGAACUACUCCCUCCUCGUCAUGGAUAGCGCUGGGAUGAUGAAGAUGGCCACCGGUGAUGGGUUCCCCCUCCGACGGGGUGCCGGAACGGGCUCCCGAGAGGUUUUUGGUGGCUACAGAGGCUUGCGGCGGUCGAACUCCCGAUCUAUCUUCUGUUCUGGAAGUUUUAGGGUAUGUAGGUAUAUAUGGGUGAAAGGAGUACGUCGGUGGAGCUACGGGGGCCCCACGAGGCAGGGGGCGCGCCCUAGGGGGGUGGGCGCGCCCCCACCCUCGUGAGCACCUCCCGUAUCUUCUGACGUGGGGUCCAAGUCCAUCAGGUGAGUUUCCUUCCAAAAAUAACUUCUCCAGUUGAUUUCGUUCUGUUUUGACUUCGUCUGAUAUUCCUUUUGCUCGAAACACUGAAAUAGGCAUAAAACAGCAAAUCUGGGCUGGGCCUUCGGUUAAUAGGUUAGUCCCAAAAAUAAUAUAAAAGUGGAUAAUAAAGCUCAAUAUUGCCCAAAACAGUAGAUAAUAUAGCAUGGAGCAAUCAAAAAUUAUAGAUACGUUGGAGACGUAUCAACAUGCUACGUGCGCGCCUCUACUACGACACGUGCGCGCCUCUACAUCGACUAGUAUGUACGUACACGUUCGCGACCAGAAUGACAACGCUACAUACGCUUCGGCCAGGUGGGUCCCGACUGUCAGGCACUUCCUUGCCUGCGAAGAUGUAGCUGGUGGGUCCCAGCAGUCAGGGGGGCGAAUCGUUUUUUUGCCCAGACGCACUUCCUUGCGUGCGAAGAUGUAGCUGGUGGGUCCUAGCAGUCAGGGGGGUGAAUCGUUUUUUUGCCUGGACGCACUCCCUUGUGUGCGAAGAUGUAGCUGGUGGGUCCCAGCAGUCAGGGGGGCGAAUCGUUUUUUUGGACGCACUUCCUUGCGUGCGAAGAUGUAGCUGGUGGGUCCCAGCUGACAGGGGGGAACAUUUUUUUCGCGAAAUACGGUGGCCUGUCCGGUGGGUCCCCACUGUCAGGUGGAGGAAUAAUUAUGCAUAAUAAGGAGGCACUUCCUUGCUGCGGCCGUGGACCCAGCUGUCGGCCUCUCCACGUACAGUCCACGUCCAAUGGAAGCCAUUCCUUGACCACAUUGACCACGCCGCGUCGAGAGCACCAGGGCGGUGGACAACGGCGAGGCCUAGGAAGGGGACGACACGGAGCCGGGGAAGACGCGGUAGUGGAUGCCCACGCGUAGAGGAGUAUGAGGGUUCACUCAUUCGGCUGUGGUGUGAGGCUGCCUUCGCUGUAGAAUAACAAGGGGUGUGGGUGCGUAGAGGGAUGGCGGGCCAACGGUGGGAGUAGUAGGGGGCGGUGAGGCCUCCGCGGCAUCACAGACGGCCACGGGCGGCAGGAGCAGGCGGCACGACCGGCGCUGCUUUGGGCGGCUGGAGCAAGAAGACCAGAGGUUGAAGAAGCACUACGGCCGUUGGAUUACAUCGUAAAGGUACUGGAGCUAGAAUCGUUCAUAUAUUGAGUAAAGUUGACAAAGACCUCCGUCCUAGUCAAUUUAGUAGGCCCACAAGUCAGCCUCCCACCAAGGUUGGUCCCAGCUAGCACGGGGUAUUCAUUUUUUAUGCGUAAUAAGGAGGAACUUCCGGUGGGUCCGAGCUGAUAGCGGGGGGAACGUUUUUUUCGUGAAAUACGGUGGCCCGUCCUGUGGGUCCCAGCAGUCAGGGGGAAACGUUUUUUUCGCGAAAUACUGGUGGCCAGUCCGGUGGGUCCCUGCUGUCAGGUGGAGGAAUAAUUAUUUUCCGUGUAAUAAGGAGGCACUUCCUUGCGGCUGCUGUGGACCCAGCCGUCAGCCUCUCCACGUAUGAUUUCUACUACACAACCUUCUUCUUGUAGACGUUGUUGGGCCUACAAGUGCACAGGUUUGUAGGACAGUAGCAAAUUUCCCUCAAGUGGAUGACCUAAGGUUUAUCAAUCCGUAGGAGGCAUAGGAUGAAGAUGGUCUCUCUCAAACAACCCUGCAACCAAAUAAAAAA
Molecule: long non-coding RNA, 59602 nt
Filed under: Triticum aestivum (bread wheat)
Lineage: Eukaryota; Viridiplantae; Streptophyta; Magnoliopsida; Poales; Poaceae
Description: long non-coding RNA (TAES_LNC016322)
Source: RNAcentral